This 56004-nucleotide long non-coding RNA is filed under the name Ananas comosus (pineapple). RNAcentral's name for it is "long non-coding RNA (ACOM_LNC002428)". Lineage: Eukaryota; Viridiplantae; Streptophyta; Magnoliopsida; Poales; Bromeliaceae. The record is from RNAcentral.
UUUAUUAAUAUUUAUAAAUAUAUAACUCUUAUAUAUUAUUAAUAUAUGUUUAUUACAAUUUUAAAUAUAUUUAAUCUAUAUAUAAAAAUUAUAAUAAUAAUAUAUAUAUAGUAUAUUAAUUAUUAUAUAUUAUUAAUAUAUAUAAUAAAAAUAUAUUAAAUAGUUUUUUAUCUAUUUUUUUUUUCUUUAAACCAAACAACUCUUCACGAAAAACCAAGUUUUUUCCACAAAAUUUUUUUUUUCCUUCGAAAAUUUUUUUCCAGUAUUUUACGAGAAGCCAAACAAAGUUGGACAUUUUUAUUUUUUUUUGAGAGAUAGAUAACAUGUUACCCGCUUCAUUUAUUUUAUUUAGAAAAUAAACUUAGUUAGAAAUGUGAAUCAAUUAGGAUUCGAACUUAGGUUUCGAGUACCAACCAUCAAGUCUUUUAGUUUGACAUUUUAUUGACAUCAUAACGAGGUCACCGCAAUGUAAGCACAAGAUCGAGAUUCAAAGAAACGAAAUACGUCCCGUCCGCCCAAUCGUACCGUUCCCAUUCUGGAAGCAGCCAACAUCGUACGGUCAACGCCCCUCAUUUUCGUUCUUGCUGCAAAUAAAAAUCGAAAAAAAUGGGCGAAUCCUCAUAACCCAAAAUACUCUCUCAUGCGCAUCUCCUCCUCCUCCUCCUCCUCCUCUUCUCCUAUCCUCACCACUAUAUAUCGUCGCCUCCUCCUCUUCAAUCCCUUCUUCGUCGCACAACAACAACAACAACAACAACAACUGCGUUGCUCUCCCCCUCUCUGCUUCACGCAAAAGCGCUUUUCCAGAAGCAGCAGCCGAUUUAGUAGCGUCGCCAUGGCCGCCGUCGAGAAGCCCCGGGUCGUCGCGAGGAAGCUCCUCGCCGAGUCCCAGGAAGAGGGACACGGCGCCACCGUGAGGAGAAGCAUUGGAAGGUAAUUCGUUCGCGUAAAAGUUUGGAAUUCAUUGAAUGAUUGAGAUCAAACUAAAAAAAAAAGCCUUUUUUAUGAAUUCAUUCUUUUUUUAUUAUAUAUACCUUUUGAUUUUUUUAUUUUGGGUGUUAAUUUGAUGGGGUUUAUGUAAUUUGCAGGUCUGAGCUCAGAAGCUUGGAUCCUUUCCUUCUCCUGGAUGAGUUUGAAGGUAUUUUAGUUUCUCGGAAAGAUGUGAAAAUCUUUUUUCUUUUUUCUUUUUUUCCGAUUUGGAUAAAAAAUUUAGAAUUUUUAUCAUUAAAUUCUUUCAAAUUUUGCUUGAUUUUGCUCUACUGUUUCUUUUCUUUUAAGUUGGGUGUUUUUUGAACUUCAAUUACAAUUUGUUUUGUUGCAGUUUCUCCUCCCGCUGGAUUUCCUGAUCACCCUCAUAGAGGUUGGUUUUGAAAAAUCACCACUUAUUAUUCAUGAUCUUAUGUUACAGGAUAUUUGCUUCUGCUCAGGUGUUGUUGUGUUUAAUUAUGUAUUUUUUUUUCUCAGGAUUUGAGACUGUUACAUACAUGCUAGAGGUAACUCAACUUACACAUCUCUGUUAUAAUUCAAAUUGAUUUGUAGUAGAUGCUCAUGAGGUGUUCACUGAAUUGCUUCUGUGGAGUUUCAGGGCUCAUUCACUCAUCAAGAUUUCGCUGGGCAUAAGGGCACAAUCGGGCCGGGAGAUGUGCAGGUUUGACUUUGUUUGGCUUUUUUUUUUUAAAUAUUAGAAAAGGAUUGGUAAAAAUGUUUACUGAAAGAUUCUCUAUAAGCCAUUUGAAAUAGGCCCUCAAUUUUAUUUUAUUUUUCGAUUAACACUCGCUUGAACUUGUACCAAUUCUUUUUAUUUGAGUUUUUACGCGUAGUCAAAUUGAAAAUUUUGUUAAAUUUAAUGGCUCUAUUAGCUAUUAACUAUUAGUUGUUCUAGUUGAUAAAAUUCUCAAUUAAGUUGACUAAUUGAUCAAAUAAAAAAUAUUCAUCAAUCUUAGUCGAUUGCGAUUGAACUUUGUUGUUUGAUCAUGUUGGUUGCUACCAACUGGCUAAAAUUUCGUCAGUCAUCAUUUUCAUUGUUCAGUGGAUGACGGCCGGCCGGGGUAUUGUCCACUCGGAAAUGCCUGCAGGCGAGGGCGUCCAGAAGGGAUUGCAGCUAUGGAUCAAUCUCUCCUCAAAGGAUAAGAUGUAAGUCACCAAUUUUGAUGCUUAGUUAUCAUAAUUUCUUGGGUCUCUCCUGAGAUGUCGCGUAUUUGCGCUCUGUCCCCUGUAAAAACAUAACCUGCAUUUAACUCUCAGAUUUUAGAUUGUUAGCACUUAAACCCCCUCAUGUCAAAUGAGAUUGAAUAUGCUUUAAAAUAUCCACCAUAACUGUUUCAAUAGUUUUCGUCGCACUUUGAAUUAUCAUUACAUUUUCUGAAUGCAUAAUUUGAGUAACAGGAGGUCUAAUUUCAGGGGUAAAGUGCAAGUAUAGGAAUCUUCGAGAGUUCCGUAUUUUAGCUUCAAUUUUAGCCGAUUUCGAUCAAUUUUGCAAAGCUCAAUGACUCUUGGCAUCGCAGGAUCGAGCCCAAAUAUCAAGAAUUGCAGAGCAAGGACAUAAGCCGAGCCGAGAAGGACGGGGUCGAAGUCCGGAUCAUUGCAGGGGAGGCAUUCGGCGUCCGAUCCCCGGUCUACACUCGAACUCCGACAAUGUAUAUGGAUUUCACGGUGAAUCCCGGCGCCCAGCUACAGCAGCCCAUUCCGGAGAACUGGAACUCCUUCGUAUACAUCAUCGAAGGCGAGGGCAUAUUCGGGAGCGAGGACUCUCCGCCGGUGACAAGCCACCAUUGCCUCGUGCUCGGGCCCGGAGACGGCCUGAAUGUCUGGAACAAAUCGGGGAGCCCGCUGCGGUUCGUUCUCGUCGGAGGGCAGCCGCUGGACGAGCCAGUCGUGCAGCACGGGCCGUUCGUCAUGAACACGCGUGCGGAGAUCCGGCAGGCCAUGGAGGAUUACUAUCUGGGGAGGAAUGGGUUUGAGAAGGCCAAGCAGUGGAAAUCUGAUUCACUUACUCACUGAUGUGAAGCACAAAAAGAACAGAUCUUAUUAGAUUGUCAUAGUUUUCGCUUCGUGGAUUGCUUGUUCUUUUAUUUCACAGGUUUGGAGGGAUAUUUGUGUUUAAGAUUACAUUCCACUGUCAUCUCUGUAUCAGAAAUAAGAUUAGGGCAAUAUAUUAUCGGUGAAUUCCCCACUGUAACUAUUAUUUUCACUCAAUUAAGUUGUAUGAUGUGUGCUAAUUAAGCGAAACGGUAUUCGGAAUAAACAUGAUUAAUGUGUUAAGUAAAGUUGAUCUAGCCUCUUUUUCGACAGUGAGUAAAUACAUUUCUAGUUUGUUUGUGAAUUGCAUUGAAUUUUGAAAAGAGACAAAGUUGAAUUAUACUUGCUUAAGUUGGUAUUACUAUGACCAAGUUUAUAGUAUCAAUUAUUCUUUCUACUAACUUUUCAUCUUCUAUAUUAAGUUUUGAUGUUCCGUUCAAUAGAAAAUUCAUUGUGGUGCAAUUUUUUGAUAGUAAGUGUAAGCAAACAUUAUAAAAUGGAUAAAAAUGUGUGGAGACCCCUCAAGUUUAACCAUUUUGAUUAUGACCCUCUUUAACUUUCAAUUGUUUGGAAUUAAAGUAAUCAAGGUGGUUCGUAAACAAGAUCGUCACUCAUGUAUGGGGGAUUUUAUCAGAAUUUUCAAUGCUUUCAUGAAAGCAAAUGAUUUUAAUCACUUUUUUAACUAAUGGAACUGAAAUAGUUAAAGACAGAUUUGUAUAAAAAUUUUUGCAAAAAUGGACCACCACUUUAAUUCGGCUCGAGUUUUAAUAAAUUGACUAAAAUAUCUUCUUUUUUUUCUCGUCUCCCUCCUCCUUGCUGUUUCUUCCUCUCCUUUUUCUCUUGCUCCCUCUCCAUUUUCCUCCUCCUCCGUCACCCACAUAUCCGAUGUUGCGCUCUGCUCUCUUAUAUCACCCACAUCUCCAUCGACGCCGGCUCGGAUAUGACACAUAUUGCGAAGUGAGGCUGCGAAGGACCGCAUGGUCGUAGAUGGCGGUAGUGAUGAGGGCGCUGCAGGAUUUGAGGAUGACGGGGAAAGAAAGUAUGUUGGGGCCAGAGCGGCAGCUGCGGUAGAGGGCGAGGGAGAGGAUGUCAUAGCGGAAAAAAAUAAAGAGGAUAUAAGAAAAAUAAAAAAUAAAGAAAAAAAAUAUUUUUUCUACUGGAAAGAUCAUUAUAUGUCGUGACAGCUACAAAAAAGAUCAAAAAAGUAGAGAAAAAGAAGAAGAAGACGGGGUUGCAAUGUUUGAGAUGAGUUAUACUCUUUGAGACGAAAGUUGUACCAUUUAAAAUUAUUUGUGACUAUAUUGCGUAAUAUAAAAUAGAAAUUGCACCGUUUAAGACUUAAAGUUGUACAAUUUUAUGCAACUUGCCUAAGUUGCAUUGUUUGAGAUUUAGUCUGAAAUAGUUUUAAAAGAAACAGUAUAACUUAGUCUUAAUAGUACUACUUCUUUUUUAUGUGAUAUAAGUUAGUCUCAAAUUAUUUUAAAUAGUGUAACUUUUAUCUCAAAUAGUAUAACUUUAUUUUUUUCUUCUUUUUCUCUACUUUGAUAUUUUCUUUAGCGAUCACGACAUAUGAUGAUUUCUACUUUUUUUAUUUUUUUCUGUAUUUUGAAGAGUUGGAUGAUAAAAUUAAAAAUUUGAAAGAACAGAUGACUAAUUCAAAAUAGUCGUAAUUCUUGCAAGUUUUGUACAUGUUUACCUUUUUUUAAUUUCUUUUAAAAUUAUUCUUACAUUUUCCACAGUGUGAAACUUUUAUCAAUUAGGAGUUUUUUUUAAAAAAAAGCAAUUAAUUUGUGUGUGCUCCGAAGGGGACACCAAAGCAGAAGCAAAACCAAAAGCAAAAGGCCAGCCCCUUUCUUCUAUAUCCACAAACUCUUUUUUUUCUUUUUUUUUCUUUUUUUUUUUUUGGGGGUUUUUCAAAAGUAAAUAGCCGUUAUUGGAUUUUGUCCUCCUCAGCCUCUCAUUCAUUCAUUCAUUCCCCUCUCCCCCUUCGCCCUUCGCCAUGUUCUCCACCGUAGGAGCGAUCGGGGGUUUCUCCCUCCUCUCCAAACCCUACUCUUUGUGCAGCAGCAACAGCAACAGCAACAGCAACAGCAACGAUCCCUCCUCACCAACCCCAAUUGCCGCCGCAUCGUCGUCUCCCUCGCUCCUCUUCCUUAACCCUCGUCGCCGCCGCCGCCGCCAUGGCCAUGGCCGGAGAAGCAGCUUCUUCUUCCCCCUCGCCUGCGCCGCCGAGCUCGCCUCCUCCGGCAGCAGCCUCGAUCAGAAGAAGGAAGACGAGGCGCGCCUCGAUCGGGUGCGGCCCCCGGCCCCUUCGCUUUUCCUGAAUCAUUUGUUUCAAUUUUUAUUUCGAUCGGAUCAUUUUAUUAAGUUUUCUGUAAUUUUAGAACAAAAUGGUACAAUGAUGGGUGAUAAUUUAGCUGUCAAAUCAUAUCAAACCAAUUUCUCUUUCGAAGUAACGUAAUAGUCGAAUGAUAGUAAUUAAUCGAGAUUUGAACAGCGAAUCAAUUGAAAUGGAAAUCAAAGUUUUGUGCCUUCAUUGAAAGAAAUCGAAGUUCGGUGAUCAAUGGUGUAAUUUAUGUUUUAUCUGCAAAUCAUGGAAAAACUUUAGCCCUCUUGCUAUUUCAGUUUGCAGAGAGCAAUCUAAAACUUUAACAAAUCAUUCGAUUCUCGGUUUGUAAUAUUCUGAAAAUCCUCCAUAUUUUUUAUUCAAAAAUAUUCAAAUUAUUGCAUGCAGCUCAAAUUGGAGAGUCGUAAGAGGUGUUCGUAAAGUUGUCAAGUCAUCAUAGUUUCCUAACUAGUAGGAAUGUUAUAAUACUAUGGCAUAGGGUUUUGUCAUUUCCGUAAUUGAGGGGAAUGAUGAUUAUUAGUCCAUUAACAAGAAUAGGCAAGUCCCUAACAAUCUCCCAAUCCAAGUGAUAUGGUUAGUUUGUAGCAAAAUUGCAAUAUUAAAUAUAAAAUGUGCAGUAUUUUCUGGAAUGCUAUAGACCAGUGAAAUGAAUGACCUAUAAAGUUUGAUGUUUGGUACCCAGUUCAAAUUAUUGUAAUUAACUACCUGAACUUAUUAGCUUGAGGUGACAAAUGAUAGCAAAAUUGUCAGGGAACAGCAAAAACAGUAUGCAAAAACUCAGAUCUUGUUAGUGAAAUAGAUCAUAAUUGACGCACUUGAUUUUUAGUAAUCAAAAUGCUAGAAAUUAGUUUCAAAUUGUAAAACUGAAGUUUAGCAUCAAGAAAGACCUAUCUAUAUUGCCGACAUGUGUUUUCACUACUUAAUCAUUUGACAGUCAAUUGCUAAUUUUGAGAGUUCUGGUGUCAAAUGUUAAAUCUCUACAGGUGGCUAAAGUUGAGGUGGUUCUUGUGCAUUUAUAUUUAUAUAUUUUUUUUGUUUUUAAUUCGCCAAUGUUGUUAAUAUCUCACUCUGAGAUUGCUUCUGAAGAAGUAGAGGGCGGCAGACUGGAGGGCGGCGCGGACGUAUAAAGAAAGCGGCGUCAUCUUCGAAGGGAAGGUUGAAGGAUCCAACAACGGAGGCUUAUUGUUGCGAUUUUAUUCUCUUCUCGGGUUUCUUCCCUACCCUCUCUUGAGCCCAUCUCAUUCUUGCAGAGGUACUUAUUGUUUUGCACUAUUUCUAUUGAUAUAAUUCAUUAUUACCUAUAUAAAAGUCUAUUAAGUUUUGAUUUGGUUAUUUAAGUUUGUAUAUUGCUUUCCAAGUAAUGGGAUAUGUGAGAAGUUUCAUGUUUGGUAUGUAUCUAAUUACUAUUUGUGAAUCGUCCAUAUCAUGGUGUCUGACUCCUAUUGCUGCUGACACUGCUAUGUUGGCAUCAAAAUAAGUGCUGCGAUAAAUUGUUAGUUUUGACUUGAACACUACUACACAAUAUUUGGUGAAACUUAUCCAUAAGACGUAUAUUAGUAUUGUUUCUUGUGUGGGAGCUAGUAUGCUAUGGAUGAUCUAUUUAUUGAUUACUUCCCAAAAUUAUGCCCUGAUAACUGGUUCUGCCUGUAGAUCCACUAAGAACCAUUCAAGAAACAGCGAAGGAUCUAGUCGGUUCAUCUAUUGCUGUAAAGGUAAUAAAGUUUCUUGUUCAAGGUUGUAUAUGAUGUUGAUUUUCUUUUUGUUACUUCUGUUACAAUUACAAAUAGUUAAUACGUGUGAUCCAUAUGAUCUAAGAAGAUAUUCUGAUCUAGAAAUUGGUGCAUGACCUUUAUAAAAAGAGUGUAUGAAGUGUAAGACUGAACUAGUGUGUGAAUGAAUUUAAGAACUUUCUACAUAUAUGUACAAUGGUGCAAAAAAUCCAAUGGGCAUAGUGAAGUAAAAGAAAUCAGGGCAGUUUACAAAGUGGUAGCAGCAGUUGAGGCAACAAAUGAACUACUAUUUUUCUAUUAUUGUCGACAUUACUCAAAUAUUAAAUGCUGAAAAGAAGCAAUAAACCUGAAUGAGACAUUCGUAGAGACAUUCCCAGAAGCAACUAUUUAAGGGGCUUACAAAAUAUGUCAGUUACGUGAUUAAAGUUAAAUUUACUUAUAUUUAUCGGAACUUGAAAGAAGGGUAAAAGAGCAUACAUUCAUGGGUUCUAUUGAUGAUAUUAUAUAGUACAAGAGAUGAGUCUAAUAUAGUAACAAUGCCUAAUAUAGUAACAAUAUAACUAGAUAUCUCAUAUCAUAUAAUCCUACUCUAAAUAUGUCGUAAUAUAUAGUAUCCUCAUAUAGCAUGAGAUACUAAAUAUGUCGUAACAGAACUUUUAAGCAAGGUACUGUGUAUAUCACUAUUUCAGUUGUAUAUAUCAUAUUGUCAAACAUUCAUUGGUAAACACAUUAGAACUCUCACAAGAAAGCAAUGUCAUGAAAGAGUUGUCCACAUGAUAUUGAUUUCUUCAAACAUUCAUUUAAAUGAAUAUCAAGCAAACUAUCUCUGCUUCUUAUAAAAUUUCUAACAAUGUGGAGAAGUUUAUGUAAAGACCUUUGCGAUAGUUUUAAGAUUUAUCACUUCUUUAGAUCUCAUAUCAUAGAUAUGUACAUCAUUGAUAAUUGUGUUGUCUGGUUCUCUCUCCUUCGUUUAGUAGCAAACUAAAAAACUUUUAAUCAUCUAUUGCUUGGUUACUUAGUAAAGUGCAUAUUACUAGAAUGAACACAUAUCUUGUACCCUUAUGCACCCUCUCUCUCAUGCUUUGAAAGGCCAAGACAAUUUGAAAGUGCUUUAGAGUUCCCCACCUCCAAUGCUAUAAAAUGAUGUGGGGAACCACCACCGCUGAAACAAGUGGUUGUAACUUGUCAAAGUUUCAUGUUUUGAGCUUUGGAAAGUUUACUUAUGCAUUUGAAUAUUUUGAAUACAAAAAAUUACCACUUCAGUAAAUCCUGCAGGUAAUUGAAGCAAACGAGGAGGAAAAGAAGCUUAUUUUCUCUGAAAAGGAUGCUAGUUGGUCUAAGUAUUCAAGCCAAGUCAAGAUUGGGGAUGUUUUUGAUGCCGUGGUGGGUUCAGUGGAAGACUAUGGUGCAUUUGCUCAUCUACGUUUUCCUGACGGUACCUCUUUUUCAAGAUGAAGUAAUGAGUAGUCCUUUCCUACUAGCCUGAAAUUUCUUGAUCAAGGAUUUAAACGUGAUACCAAUUUUUCUUGACAGGACGCUAUCAUCUUACUGGACUUGUACAUGUUUCUGAGGUCUCUUGGGAUUUGGUUCAAGAUGUGAGAGAUUUUCUGAAUGAAGGUGAUCAGGUCAAGGUCAAAGUGAUUAAUAUAGACAGGUUAGAAUGCUGAGUUGUAAUUAAAAUGUUUCUUAAUCAGUUGAGCUAGUUCAUUACCACUGCACAGUACUAUGGAUAUGUGAUAAUGACAUGGCAAGAAAUGGAUAUAUAGAUAUAGCUAAAUAUGAAAAAUAAGGAUAUAAUAUUAUAAUAAAGAUCUCAUUUCAGUUGGAGCUUUGUUAUUCAUAAUGUACACUGAUCCUUGUUAAACUUCUAUGGAUAAAUGUGUAUGGUGACCAACUUAUAGCUGGCAACCUCGUAGAACUCUUGGAUAUAUAUCAACUAGAAUGUUCAAGAAAUCUAAUGGGGAAUCAUCCCUAUAUCAAUGGAAUCUCAUCAUUCAUAGACAACAAAGUGAUAGGGACAUAUAAGUACUAAAAGGUUAUAAGUACAAGAACUUUCAGGGAAGAAAAACGGAUUUAUGCAUGGAAUCAAAUAUGCUUUCUUAUACCAUGUUCAAACUUCAAAUACAAAAUCAAAAGAGAUGUUUGAAGAAAUACAGAUUUCAUAUGGGUGCAUUUAGAUCUUUAUUUUCAAAAUCUGAAUUUUAUGCAAUUGAUAGCUUGGGUGGAUACACUUCUCUAUUCUUAUUAUUGUUGGUUAGCUUGCAAACUCAUCUACUCUUUUGGGGUGGUAGCCCGGCGGGGGGGGAGGUGCGCGGGUGAGAGGUUGGGGAGCAAAACAUUAGAUGUCUAGCUUACAAAUAAUCUGUCAUUUAUUGGUGAUUAUGUAUAUAUGUUUAUUAGACAAUUGUCAUGCCUUUGCAAUUCAUCUGUCAAGAGGCUUUGUUAAACUUAGCUAAAGUGUCUUAUGAGUCUCUUGGUUAUAUGAACGUUUUAUCUUUUAAUAUUAUCAAAUUUUGGCAGUUUUUUAUGAAACUAAACCAUUUGACUGAAAUGACCGAAUGGUCUUUAUAUUCGACUCUUUUUGUUUAACCAUUUGACUGAAAUGACCGAAUGGUCUUUAUAUUCGACUCUUUUUGUUUAUGCUAAGACUACCCUAUGUCAAAACUGACCAAAAUGUUCUUUUGCAUCAAUGCUCGUUUGACACCUCGACGAAACUGAUUUCCUUUGCCUCUUUGAACUGCAUGAUUUGCAAACAAAAAGAAACUAUUUUCUUGCUUCAAUAACUUUCUCAGCAGAUAGUAAGACAAGAGGCCAAGGUUUAUUAUAUAUACAGGCUUGUGCAAAUAAAUAUACUUUAGCUAGCUGAUUGUAACUGGGAGAGUCUCUGUAUAUGAGGAUCGGAGCUUAGUCGCAUUUAGGUUUAUGUACAUUGCAUGAAAAAAAAAACCAAUUUCUUUAAGACUUGAAUACAUUUUACACCUUCAUAUCACCCUAAAAUAAGCCAAGGUUUGUCAUAUUUGCUUUUGAAAUUAUUUCUGUUGAAUAUUUCACCACUGAAUUGCUGUUGGCACCUCUCUUACGUGGAACUCGCUAAACUACAUGGCUUUGACUGAAAUCAAAUUCUUUUACUAUACAAGUUGUCAUAUUCUUUAUUCCCAAAUAGAAAUGAGUUAGCUUAUUUACUUGAAAUUCUUUAUUGUGAUUGUUCUUCAUCUUCAACAAUCAGGGAAAAGUCAAGGAUUACUCUAUCAAUAAAGCAGUUAGAGGAUGAUCCUCUUCUUGAGACAUUGGAGAAAGUGAUUCCUCAGGUUGGUUUAUGUCCAAAUGAGCUAUAUUUGUGGUUAUUUCUGCAUAUCAAGCCUAGUUUGGUGAUGUGGUGUCUAAAAGCACCAUUUUCAUAUUAUAGAAGGUAAGAAAAAUCCAAAAACGCUUACGAUCUUCUCUUCUCCAAUGCUUUAAAAUUUCUGUUGCAACUGAAAUUUAAUAAUACAAAAGAAAGGAAGAUUGAAAAUGCUUUCUAAAUUUUGGGCCUUAUGUAGUAUAAUAAAUAGAGAAUAACCCAAGCUUCGUGGGAGGAUGUAAUAAUAUGACUAUAUCGUUAUAUUUAUUUAUCAAAGCAUAUAUACAAACACACACACACACACACACACACACAAACACACACAAAUAGAUAUAAUAAUCAAAUUAUUUUACUUAAAUAAAAUACUCGCUGUUUUAUUUUCCAAUUAUUUCUUCAAAGCAAAGGAAUUAUACAGUACGAAAUAACAUAAAACAGACUAAUUUUAUUCUAAUAAAUAGAUAUGGGCUUUCCGCUUAAAUUGUCCCCUUUUGUUUGGGAAAGAUAUGAGAUAUUGGAAUCAGAUUGAUUUCAUUCCCAUUUGAGCGCCCCCCCGAUCAGUGCAAUGGGAUGUGUCUAUUUAUCUAUCUCUUGACUCGAAAUGGGAGCAGGUUUGAAAAAGGAUCUUAGAGUGUCUAGGGUUGGGCUAGGAGGGUCUCUUAACUCCUUCUUUUUCCUUCCCAUCGGAGUUAUAAUCUACUGCAAUAAUAUAUAGUUUGUAAUGCAGAUAUGAACAACAAAACAUAUUUCAUAUUAUGGAUGAUCUAUUCAACUUUAUUUCUUGUCGGUGUUAAUUCUACUUGUCCCUUUUCUGACCUUCGAACUACAUACAUAUAGAUAAUAUUUUAGAUAUAUGUUGAAAUAAGCAUGAGAACUAUUAAGUUAGUAAAAAAAAAUUAAUAAUUGUAAACAUCAUCUUUUGGUCAAACCAGAUGCUUGAUUAGGUAAAUCACAAUCGUCACCUGUCAUUAACUGAGGAUCAAAAGAGUCAUGAUAUCCUUCAUUUAUCUCAAAGUUUUAGUAGCUUAUUUAAUAUUAUAAUUAGAAUAAAAACUUUAGGAACUAAUACUACAAGCUUAAAAAACUGAAUGGGAAGCCUUGUUCUCUCACCUAAAUAAAGGUAGAAGAGGUGGACCACAUGCGGCCAUCCAAUGGCAAUGAACAUUAAGGGUUCACAUAUAUGUAGAGAGGCGAGGAAGAAAAAAUUACACGGCUAAAAGAAUAGAAGGGAACAAAAGAGAAUAUGCUCUGUACUAAACAAUCCCUUUGGAAAUGGAAAUCUUAGGAGGUCCCAUUGUAGAGAUGUACUCAAUUCUUGGAAAUAUUUAUUCAGUGGAUAUUUGGAUUAAAUGUAAUAAGUAUAUUUUUAUUAAACUAUUAACUUUCAUAGGAAAGUAAUUUUGAGACCACACCCAUGCGAACCCAUGUUCUAGCAUACACAUAUGUCUUAAAAACUCUUUCUCAAGAAGGCGGCAUGACUCAACCAUAGUACACCUACGGCUUCUCACUUAGUAUAGAGGUAUUAAUGGUGCUUUUAGCCACUUUUAGCGACUACAUUACCAAACUAGGCCUAAGUUGCUUGUGUUCUAAUAUUAUAUUGUUUAUAGGAGGACCAGCAAAUGCCUACAGCUCAGAGCUUGUCUUCCAGUACAAUUGAACCUCUUCCAGGACUUGAGAGCAUAUGCAAUGAGCUACUACAAGAGGAAGGGUGUGUUACCAGUCUGUCGCCAUUCUUAAAUUUAAUACAUAGUUGCUAAAGCUUGCAUACUUCCAUCAGUUAUCAGAUGUACUAGUAAUCCAGUAUAAUUUCUGAUGUUCCAAAAGUAGGAACUUGUAAAGAAAAAACCGUUACUUCCUGCCGAAAACGAUCUUUUGAUGCAAAUCAUCUGGUCUAACACUUUCUAAACUACAAAACAUUAUUGUUUAUCCUACUUUAGAUACUUUGACUUGUUUCUAUAGCCAGGAUUGUCACUUUAUAAGAGAUCAUUGGUUCUAUCUAAAAUCUAUACUUCCUUAUAUUAGCUGUUUCUAUCUUGAUAUGGCGGCCAAUACACUUCGUAGGUUAGAUAAUUUUUGGAUACUCUGCUUGGGCUUGACCUAGUUUAACUUGGCUAUUGACAAUCACACAUAUCGUGAAUGAUUAGCAUCGUCCAACUUUAUACUUCCUUUUUUUCUUUUUUUUCUUUUUUAACUAAAGCUGUAUUAAACUUUUCGAUGUCAUGUAUUUUGUAAUACAGGAAAUAUCUUUGGCCUGGUAAAGUAAGCUUAGAAAUAUACGACUGAAAUUCAAUUUCUACUUUCUGCCUGAUAGCAAAUUUUGUGUGACACAAUUUUGUGUGAAUGUGUGUCGUGUAAUUGUAUUGUAGAAGGCCUCCUCUCAUUUUAUGCUAAGAAUGUGGAACUUCCUAUUGUGUGCACAGCAUAACUGAUGUACAGCUUGGACGCCAAGGAUUGGAGAAGCGUGUUGUCUCACAAGAUUUGGAGCUUUGGCUUUCCAAUGUAAGAGGCCAUCUCAUCUUAAGAUUAGAUUCCUUUUACUAAUAAACUUCAAAGAGUUAAACAAAUAUGGGCUGAGAUGUUAAUGCUGUUCUUACCUAGGUACCAGCCAAGGACAAACAAUUCACACUGCUUGCUCGAGCUGGACGGCAGGUUAGUGUUUGUUGAUUUCAAGGAUUUAAGUGUCCAUCAGCAUGGGUUGUGCCUAUCAAAUCUUCUUUUUUGUGAAAUUAGUUAGGUGUUAAUUCAAUAAAGUACAAAAGAUUUGAUAAAAAUUAUAAUAAGCUAUUAUAAUAUGUUGGUGCCAAAGAAAUUUAUUUCAUGCUAUAGUGUGCCUCGGCACACAGGUACUUUUGUGAUUGUAAUGCAGCGUGCCGGCAUGGUAAAAAGCGUGCUGCUCCGUGUCAACAAGUUUUUGGCAUGAUCCCAUGCCAUGGCACUUAGAUUUUUAGUUGAUUUGUUAGGAAGGUUCAAUCUCUACAUUAUGCCUAAAGACUAAAGCGACUUCAAUGCAACAUAAUGAGGCUUUCAGUUUAAAUAUUUACAAUCUCUACAUUAUGCCUGUAGUGACUUCAAUGCAACAUAAUGAAGCUUUCAGUUUAAAUAAUUCCAUAACUAGUCUUUGAAACUUAGAAAUGGCGCUUAGAAUCCAUCUGGUGUCAAACUCAGUUGUUCUGGUAUUCUAAUUGUGCUUCUCCCAUUUUCUGUGCUCAUUGAAAUUGUAACGACACGACCCGUCAGCAAUAAUAACUCAUUGGGCCCAAACCACCAACCCAAAAUGCUUACGUCUAGUUAUUAUUACUAGCGUGGAAGCCUCUUACAGUGCAAAUCAGAACCCCUUUUCCAUCCAAUGUGGGACUAUUGAGCGUUACAGACUCCCCCUAUUUAAACACUGACGUCAUCGUCAGGUCCAAACCCAGAUUACAGACAGACCGGAAUUACCAGGCGAUGUGUUUAAAUGUGGCUCCUACGGGUUCAAGAUGUGGCUCCCACCAAAUCCGUUGGUAUAGCACUUUGCCUCGCAUAGCUUUAACUCUCACGUUUCUAACUGGUAUUCGGCUCUUAUACAAAUUGUAACCACCCGGCCCGCUACCAAUAAUAACUCGUUGGACCCAAACCACUAGCCCAAAAUGCUUAGGCCAGUUAUUAUUAAUAGACCAGAAUUACCAAACAAUCACAGAUCACAGACAUAAACUAGAAUUACCAGGCGAUGUGAGAUUCUAAAGGUGGCUCCUACGAGUUCAAGAGGUGGCUCCCAUCAAUUCCGUUGGUGUAGCACUUUGCCCUACAUAACAUUUAGCUCUUACUCUUCUGGCUAGUAUUCAACUCUGAUACCAAUUGUAACGACUCAGCCCGCUAGCAAUAAUAACUAGUUGGACCCAAACCACAGAACCAAAAUGCUUAUGCUCAGUUAUUAUUAUACAAACUGUUCAAACCCAGAUCACAGACAGACUAGAAUUAUCAGGUGACGUGAGAUUCUAGAGAUGGCUCCUACGGGUUCAAGAGAUGGCUCCCAUCAAAUCCGUUGGUGUAGCACUUUGUCUCGCAUAGCACUUAGCUCUCAUACUUUCGGCUGGUAUGCGGCUCUGAUACCAAUUGUAAUGAACUGAUCCGCUAGCAACAAUAACUCGUUGGGCCAAAAUCACCAGCCCAAAAUACUUAAACUCAAUUAUUAUUACUAGUAUAGAGGCCUCUUAUUUACCAAAUCAGAAUCUUUUUUCAUCUGAUAUAGGACUAUUGUGGCGUUACAGCCACCCCCCAUUUAGACCCUGACGUCCUCGUCAAAUCUAAACCCAGGUUACAAACAGACUAGGAAUUACCAGGCGAUGUGAGAUUCUAAGGGCGUGUUUGGUUCGCCUCUUUUUCACCCUGGAAUCGGAAUCGGAAUGGACGAAUCCGUUUGUCCGUAUUUUGUAUGCAGGAUUCUCAUUCCGAUUCUGAUUCCCGGGUGAAUGGGAAUCCCCCCAAUUACCCUCGUUUCCAAUCCGGAUUGGAUUCCUAGGCCGAAUUGGAAAUUGAAUCCGAGCGGAAUGAAUUUUUGUUCGGAUUAAAUUUAACUUUUUUAAACUUAUUUUUUAAUUAAAAUAUAAGUUUAAGUUUAAAAAUUAUAUUUAUAAAUUUUAAUUUUAAUUUGAAAUUAAAUAAAAAAUUAAAAUUCAAUCAAACAUUUUGAAUCAAAUUUAUAAAUAUGAAUUUACAUUUAAAUUUAACUUAAAAUUUAAAGUUUUAUUCAAAUUUUAUUUAAAUUUAAAUUAAUUUUAUGGAUUCAAAUUGAAAUUAUAAUUUUAAAUUUGAAUUUGAAUAAAUCAAAAUUUAGUUUUAUAUUUGGAAUUAUCCGUUCAAUUUCAAAUUUUAAUUUUUUUAAAAAAUAUACUUAAAAUUUUGACAUCAUGUUAAAAUUUGACGUAAAUUUUUAAUACUUAAUUUUCAGUUUGAAUUUAAACUAGUAUAUUAUAAAGAUAAAAUUGACAUAUUAAUUUGAUUACUUUUCUGUUUGCUAUCUGAACAAAACACCGACAAUAAGAAUAGUUCAUUUCGAUUCCGAUUUAGGCGACGAACCAAACAGAAUGAGAUAAUGAAUCAUUCCGAUUUCGUUUCCAGCUUAUUCUCACUCCGAUUUCGAUACCGAUUUUGACUUUGAACCAAACACACUCUAAAGGUGGCUCAUACGGGUUCAAGAGGUGGCUUUCACCAAAUUCGUUAGUAUAGCACUUUGUCCCGCAUAGCACUUAGCUCUCACACUUUUUGGCUGGUAUUCGUCUCUGAUACCAAUUGUAAAAAUCCGACCCGCUAGCAAUAAUAACUCGGUGGGCCCAAACCACCGGCCCAAAAUGCUUAAGUCCAAUUAUUAUUACUCGCGUGGAGACUUCCUAUAUUCCAAAUCAAAACCCCUUUCCUAUGCGAUGUGGGACUAACAGGGCGUUACAGACUCCCCCCAUUUAGAUCCUGACAUUGUCGUUAGGUCUAAACCCAGAUUACAGACAGUCUAGAAUUAUCAAGCGAUGUGAAAUUCUAGAGGUGGUUCCUACGGGUUCAAGUAGUAUUUUGUACUGCAUAGUACUUAGCUCUCAUACUUUCGGCUGGUAUUCGGCUCUGAUACUAAUUGUAACAAACCGACCAGCCAGCAACAAUAACUCGUUGGGCCAAAACCACCGACCCAAACGCUUACGCUCAGUUAUUAUUACUAGCGUAAAGGCCUCUUAUAUACCAAAUCAGAACUCUUUUUCAUCUAAUGUGGGACUGUUUGGGCAGUACAGAUUCCCCCUAUUUAGACCCUGGCAUCCUCGUCAUGUCCAAACCUAGAGACUCCCCUCAUUUAGACCCUGACGUCCUCGUCAAGUCCAAACCCAGAGACUCCCUCUAUUUAGACCCUAACGUCCUCGUCAGGUCCAACAGAUGAACCAAAAUUAUCAAGCGAUGUGAGAUUCUAAAGGCAGCUUCUACGAGUUUAAGAGGUAGCUCCCACCAAAUCUGUUGGUAUAGCACUUUCUCCCGCAUACCACUUAGCUCUCACACUUCCAGCAGGUAUUCGUCUCUGAUACGAAUUGUAACAUCCAGAUCCGCUAGCAACAAUAACUCGUUGAGCCCAACCACCUUCCCAAAAUGUUUAAGUCCAAUUAUUAUUACUAGCGUAGAAGCCUUUUAUAUAUCAAAUCAGAACUCAUUUUCCAUCUAAUGGGACUAUUGGAGCGUUGCAGAAAUCACCCACCACAAUCCUAAUUACAAUCACAAACACUUGAAAUAGCUGCAGCGCAUUGCAAUCCAAAUAAAGUAAAUGACCGAUACUUUUUAGUGAAUCUAAAGAUGAAACUCUUCCUUUGUUGCAGGUCCAAGAGGUCCAUUUGACAACUACACUUAACCAGGAUGGCAUAAAGAAAGCCGUGCAACGAGUAUUAGGACGUGUUCCAUGAGCUCGCCAGGUGCAACGUGUUCAUAAGGUGUGAUCUGUUUCUCUAUAUUUUCUGAUGCUUGUGCAUGCGCCUGCUCCACAGUCCACACACUUCACAAGAAUUGUGCGGUGAACUAGGUAUCGUCAGCAGAAAUAUGAGCUCCGUGCUCGUACCAGUUCGUCAGAAAAAAAAAAAAAACUUUCAAUUAAGCUUUUCAUAUUUUGUGAAAAAUAGAUGUGUAUUAUUUGCAUUGGAGAUUGUGGAUCUCAGUUCAACUGUUCUUGUGAACUCUCAUAAACAAUCUACUCAUCAAAGGGAGGAGAUUCAAAUUUUGAUCCUCUUUCUUAUACUUGCUUUUGCUGCUCAUUAUAGUUGCUGAUGUUAAGUUGCAUCAUUCUCACAUUUAUGGUGUUUUAAGUUUCUGGUGGUUGCAGAAUCUUCAGUCAAAUUGUCCUAAACAUAUUUUCAAAUUAUCUAGAAUGGGGAUCCUUGUAUUAUAUGGAUUGAAUAAUCUGAAACUUUAUGCCUACAGAAGCAUGAAAGAAAUGAGUGAUGAAUAGGCAUGAGGCAUGGAAAAUGAUACAAGAGACAUGCAAAUCAUAUUUUCCUCGAAAUAGAAAGUCUAGAUAAUCACAUGUACUAACUGUGACAGAUCAAAGCAGAUUUUUGUACUAUUGUACCAUGAGAAGGCUUUUUCGCGCAGCAUAUUUUAUUUUAUUUUUCACAAUUUGGUAGACAUGUAGCUGUUCUUCCCCCCUUUUUUUAAUUGAGAUAUGUUACUUGUACAUCUGAAAAAUUGGUGUAAAUUUUACAUUUCUCAAUCCAAGAGUUUAAACAAUCUUUUUGGAUGUUUAAUAUGAAAAAAGGAUUGAUAAAAAUAGUGCAAAAUAUUAGUCCUUGUAUGGAGAGGUUGAUUUACACCCAUUUUACAACUUUAUAGGUAGAAUUGCUUUUUAUUAGCCAGUUUGCACAAAAAAAUUCAUUGAUUUUGUAUUUUUCUAAAAGUAUUCCACUUUUUAGGUUCUGCAGAUAAGGUCCGGCUUUUUCGUGAACAGACCAAUAUACUCGUAUUCCUCUUUCUCUCUCGUCUGUUUUUUUUUUCCUUCCUCGUCAUCCUCAACGUUUCUUCCUCUAUUUCUCCUCUGCUUCCUCUCCCUCGUCGAUCGAUCGUUCCCACGUCGACAUCACGCUCUUCUCUUCUACCUCAUCUAUACCUCUACCAACACAACACAAGUGGCGACGUUGUGGGCUCGGAUAUGAUGCAAUUCGCAGAUGUGACGUUGUGAUGAAGGGUGUGGCCAUGGAAAGUGAGGGCGACAAGAGUGCUAAAGAUUUGAGGACGACGUAGAGGAAGAGCGGAGUGGGGCGGGGAUGACGACUAUGGUAGAGGGCGAGGGAGAGGGUGUCGGUAGUUAAAAAGAAUACAAAGGAUGAAAAAGAAAGAAGAAAAAAAAAAGAAAAAAAAAGAAUAUGCAUUUUGUCCUUCUUCUGGGAGGUCAUCAUGCUUCUGAGCCACUGCAAUGAAUAAAUGUCAAUUUGAGACUAAGUUAUACUAUUUGAAAUUAAGUUGUAUCACAAAAAAUAAAAAUUAUAUUGUUUAAGACUAAGCUACACUGGUUGAGACUUAGUUACACUGUUUGAAUUUAAGUUGCAUAAUUUGAAACUAUAUGAGACCAAAUUACACGAAAAAAAAUAGAAGUUGCACUAUUUGUGCAACUUCUUGAAUACUGCAACUUCAACUUUUAUUUUUUGUGUUGCAAUUUAGUUUUAAAUAAUUUUAAACGAUGCAACUUAGCCUUAAAUAAUAUAAUUUAGUUGUGCAACUUCUGCUUCUUUCUCUUUUUUUUCUCUACUUCUUAGUCUUUUCUAUGGCAGCCAUGCAUAUGAUGCAAUUUCCAAGAGAAAAAAAAAAUAUUUUUUCUAUUUCUUUCACCCUCAGCAUUUUUUUUUUUUGCUACCGCUUUCCUUCCCUGGCCCUUUGUCGCCAUCCCCGCCCGCAUGUACUUUCCUUUUCUGUCGUCCUCAAAUCAUACGAAGAGGAUUUUGCAGCAUCCUUAUCGUUAUUGCUGCCCAUAACCACACCCCUCCGCUGCAACUUCACAUCCGUAUUAUAUACCAUAUUCGAGUCCACGUUACCAUCGUUGGUGUCGGCAAAGAUGUGAUAAAAUAGGAGAGAGAAGUACGGCAUCGAUAUGAAGGCGGUGGAGGAGGAGGAGGAAGAGGAAGCGGAGGAGAAAGAAAGGAAGGAAUGGCAUGAAAGUGAGAGACAAAGCCGAAAGAGAAAAAUGAACGAGAGAGAGAGAGAGAGAGAGAGAGAGAGGGAGAGAGAGAGAGGAGAAAGAAAGAAAAAUAAAGAUGUUUCAAUCAGUUGUAUCAUUGACUUUAAAAUUUAAAAUGCAUAAUUUGUCUUUAGUGAUUUAGUUAGUAUAUUUAACAUAAAUAAUUAUUAAUUUACCCAAAAUAAAAUAAAAAACAAAAGUUUGCCAUGUUUUUUUUCUAAAACAUAUGCUUUUUGGCAUCCAAUCGGUUUACAAUUAGAAGGUAGCUAAUAAUAAUGAUAAGAAACAAUAAUAAAAUAGAUUUUCCUCCCUCGUUUAACAUUAAUGUAACAACUAAACUAAAUAUACAUUUAGGAAGUGCCCCUGGUGAUAUAGUUCUCCAAAAUUCACAAUAAAACUCUUUCCAACUUGCACACCAGGAGAAAAUGCAAAGAAAGAAUAUAUACACACAAACUAGAGUUCGUCAUGGACCUCUCCCUUGGAAAAAAGAUUACUUGUGCCAUGCUUUUCAUGAAGAUACCUCAUGGCGAGAGCCGCGUGAAGGGCUGCGCCGUACGGGAGCGCCUCCUCGUUGACGGUGAAGAACGGGGAGUGCGGGGUAUACUGCAGCAGGCCGAUCGCUCCGUCGCUCAUCCCCACAAAGUAGUAGAACGUGGCCGGCACGGCUUCGGAGAAGAAGGCGAAGUCCUCCGCCCCCAUCACCGGCUUCCUGUCCCUCACAUUAUCGGGGCCGAGCAUUUCCCUGGCCACCUUCCUGAAGUGCCCAUACAGACCUUCAUCGUUGACAGUCGGGGGGAAGAACGUGCGUUCUUCGUCGAAGAAGCUCACGGUGGCGUUGCAUCUUUGCACGGAUGCUUGCGAAACAAUGACCUGCCGUUACGAGAAUCGAGAACAUUAGUUUCUCAUCUAACUCGUAGUGUUGAAAUAUAACAUGCGAGGGUUGCUACUUUCUUAUAGCUUGAGCACCAGAUACAAGAACUGGCGCUUGGAUCCACAAGUUUGAGAGAGAAGUUGUAGAGUAAUAAUAGAUUGCAUCGCAAAAUUUUAGCAGCCAUUUUUUGUUUUUGAAGAUAUUAGUACAGAACAUACUUAUAUAUUAUCUCAGAAAUAAAACCAAAGAGAUAGUCCAAUAUACAUAUUCAUUUACGGUGCAACCAAAUCCCCUUCUAAGGUAACCGAAGGAAGAGCGGCGAGAGCCUUCAAUAUAUGUAUGAAGCCAACUUUUGAUAUCAGAACAGGAGGGAAUCCAUAGCAAGUUUGUAAGGUAUUUUCUUUCCUUAAAGUGAGUGUAAUGCAGUUAACAUGGCUAGUUCCAAUGAUGAUUUAAUAAAUAAACUAAAAUUGUGUCGGGUUAAGUUCAUAGAUAUUGGCAUAAAUGACAUCAAUUGUUCAUUAGACUAUAACUGAUUUACGUGACAGUUGGUUGAAACACUUAAGCUAGAUGACGAUCAGAACCGUCUUAAAGCAUCAUUUAAUUAUUGGGAAGCAAAUGGGGACAAAGUCGCGUUGAAUAUUAUUAUACUAGUUGUGUCAUACCUCCUCUAUUCGUCGCUUCAGUUGCGAAAAGCUUUCCUUCGAAAAGGCUCGGAAAGUGCCGCCAAUGGUAACAGAAUCGGGAAUAACAUUAAAUGCUCCACCUCCUUGGAAUUUUGCAACUGUUACCACCUGAAAUGGAUAACAUGGAAUCAACCUUCCAUCAAGGAUAACAAGAAAUUUGUUGAUUAUAACCAAAGUUUAAUUUGAAGCACAAAAAUUCAGUGCCCAUCCCCACCCCAAAAGAAGGAAAAGGAAGAAAUAUUCCUAGGUUCAAGCCUGGAUCAUGAAUUUCAGCUUCAACAACCGGUCACCAUCUUUCGCUCGUCUUGUAACCAUGUUUUCCUUAGGAAUAUGACAUCAAUUUUCGGGCUUAUGUAUCAAGUAGAGCAUGUGGGGUAUAUUUAUUAGACAAGAUGAAGUUUAAAAGUCAUAUUUGAAGUUUUGUGUAUAUUUAUUAGACAAGAUGAAGUUUAAAAGUCAUAUUUGAAGUUUUACAAACAGGUUGAGGCCCUUGCCCUCAGGAAAAAAAAAUUAAUGUUGUUAAAAACAUUAUAUUAUAUCUAAAUCAAUAGAUAGUGAAAAACUUUUGAUUAUGUGAGAAAUAUUAUGACUUCAAGUAGAGCUUUUAUUUGAAAACUCAAAGCUCAUAAAUUCCAAAUUUCUCUCUAACCACAACCUGGUGACCCACAAACCCUUUAAAAUAACAGCUCUCAGUGAGGUUAAGCUUGUGAAAAAAUAGACAUAUCAGUCAGCAAACCAUGCAUAGAACUAUAGAAGGUUAAAAGUUGAAGAAAAUAAAUCAUGAAAUCCACCAUAAGAUGUACAAUCUUCAAGCUAAACUUAAAUAGAGCACUUUUAAUUUCUAACAAGAACUCUACAUAAUAAGGCUGACACCAAUCUAAAUGGACGCCAAGACAGAAAGCAUUAGCGUGUUUUGUAGUUUAGGAGACAAUUAUCUCGUCAAGAGCAUUUAGGUAAAACAACAAUCAAAGAGAAAUGAAUUUAUCUUUUACUCGAUGUACCCUCUGGGAGAAUAUAAAGGAUAUACCAGAGAGACUAAGUGAUAACAAAAUGAGUAAAAAACAACCCAAGUGCCAGAACGAAAAACACAAGUCUGUGUAAUGAGAACAUGCAAAAAAUAAGUACCUGCGAAUCCAAGGGAUCAGCUUCACGCGAAACGAGAUGUUGCAAGCUAACAAUCACAUUCGACGCAGCUACGAUUGGAUCUAUUGCAUGCUGAGGAAUUGCAGCGUGACCUCCUUUUCCGCUUAUUACAGCCUCAAAGAACCCACUACCAGCCAUAAUAGGGCCGGGCCUGGAUGCCACCGUGCCGAUAGGUAGAUCACCAGUUAUGUGAAACCCGAAAAUAGCGUCAACAUUUUUGACAGCUCCGUCUUCUAUCAUUUUCUUUGCGCCGCCGCCUCCUUCUUCAGCUGGUUGGAAAAGGAGAAGGACCGUUCCCUAUUUAGAGAACAGUCCAAAUUAUGAAGCAAUUUUCAUAACAUAACAUACCACUAUCUAGUGCCUUCCCAAAACAAAAAGGGGAAAAAAGAGACUCUUUUUAUUUUGUUCCACAUGUAACUAUCGAAAGAAAUAUCAAAUCUAAUCCUAAUUAUACAAUAUUUCUCCCGAAAUAUUGUGAACAAGAAAAACAAUAAAAAGAAGUGGAAUUUCUGUUAGAAGAUCACUGCAGCAAAUGAAUGAUAGGUUAAAGGAAGAAAGCUCAAAUAACAAAAUCACUGAGAAGUUAAAGAAGAUAUUUAAGUCCUCACAACCUGGUGACACAGAAUAAAUAGGAAGUAAGGUUCUUUAGAUCAAACAGAUCAUACAAGAGCUAAUUAUACUUGUGCACUUGUUUUACACAAGCUACCUAAUGGAAAGCCUCCUUUAAUGGGGUGUACGGUUGGCUGCUGAAUGAGGAAGAACAAAGAUGAAAGGGUAGAGUUAGUUGUUUUGAGUUUUAUGAAGAAAGCGAAAGUGACGGAGUAGAAGAAAUUUUGAAUUAAUCCAGCUGAUGUACAUUUUCUUACUUUAUAACUUGAAAAAUCUGACUCAAUAAAAGUAAGCCCCAAGACUUGUAAAAUACCACCUAUCCAACUUUUAAAUAUUUAAUUACCCACGCAUUUUAUUCAUGCCUAUUUUCUAAUCAUUUGUUGUCCCUUGAGUAAUUGAACAAUCGCCAUGAUCACCACCUUUUAAUUAGACCAGAAAUCUAAUUUCUUACAAGAGGGAAUCCGGGAAACAUCAUGACUCCAAUAUUUCAUUUUUCAAAUUUAUUCCUUUAUACAGAGUCUAGCGAACCAGAUGAUCUAACACAGAGGCAUAAAUAAAUAUAAAACAAAAAAUUGUGGAGUGUUUCACAUAGGUGGUGGCCCUGCAAAACCUAGAAACUAGGGCCAAUUGAAAUUUAGGACACUAUAAUCAGUCACAUGAGGUUGUACACCAAUAAUGCACAUAUAAAAUAAUAUACAUCUACACACUCCUGGGAAGAGACCUCUUAUCAUUUACGACAUAAACAUAAGCAAAUUGGAAGGAGUGCCAUUGAACUAUAUGAUAUCAAACAUGAAUGCCUUUUAUGAUGCCUCGAAGAAAUGAUCAAGAAAACAAUUAACAAGGAAAUCAAGUAAACUAAUAAUAGAGAAAAGGAAUCUUCUGAAUAGAUUACUAUAGUUCAUGAAAGUGGGCAGAUUCAUCCAUCCAAAUUUUUAUUUAAAGAAAUACUUGAAGACGACAGAACAAUAUUAUACCUUGCAAGCAGUGUAUUUUUAAAUCUGUGUGUUCUUACUUAGAAAACAUAAAAGUAGUAAACUAGAUUCCGAUCUCUAAGACAAUUCGAAAAGAUUAAUAUCAACCUGCAACUCAUCGCGAUGCUCCUGAAGAAUCUUAGCGGCGCCCAGCAACAUCGCGACAUGUGCAUCGUGUCCACAUGCAUGCAUCUUCCCGGGAACUUUACUCUUGUGCUCCCACUCCACAUUCUCCUAUCCAUUCAAACAAAGUUGGUAAAUUUCCACAACAAAAACAUCAAAUAAAACUAAAAACUGAAUGAGUAGGGAUCAAUUUAUAGCAAAAGAAAAAAAAAGUUAAAAAGUCCAAAAUCAGGAGGAAAGAAAAAAAAAGGGGUGGGUGAUGUAUUCCAUAUCAAAAUUUUGACCAUGAUAGCAAUCAUGAAUGAAAGGAAAAUAAAGAAUUACAUUUGAAAAAAAAAAAGGAAUAAAAAAAAAAAAAAAAAAAAAAAAAAUCCAUCCAAAAUACAGUAACUUCCACAUAUAAAAAGAAAAGAACCACAAAAAUUAAAAAUAAAAAACAAAGAAUAAAUGGAGAGGGAUAGGUAAAAAUUUAUGGAGAGCCUCGAAUACAGCCAUUUUGAAAUGGUUCCUUCAAAACUAUUGACACUUCUUGAAUCUUCAUUUGUUUUAAUAUGAAUUUUUUUAAUCAAUUAAAUAAAAAUUGUUAAAAUAUUUAGCUAUUGAUUAUUAUUUAUUAAUGAAAAUUUUACUUUCUUCAUCUAAAAACAGUCAGAGGUGUGAAAUUUUGAUGAACUGAGUGAUGAACAAAAAAAAACUCUUAAUUCAAUUAAUUAAGAUACUUAAAAUCCAAUCAAAUAAAAAUUAAAUAGGUGUUAAAAUGAAAGAUUUAGUUAAAAUUAAUGGUUCAAUUAACUACUAAUCAUAUAUUAGUAACAAAAUUCAUAUUUUAAACGCGAAAAAUUGAUGGAAAUGACCAAAAGAGUAAUUUAAAGAAAUUCCCAUAAUUCAAUUGCCUGAAGCAACUUAAAUCAAAGAAAAUACAAGUUCAUAACGUUCAGGGGCUUUCUCAAAAAAAUUCUAUAGGUGAGGGGGUGCUCCAUGAUUUUGAUUUUACCAAGAAAAGAAAAAGAUGAAAAAAGAAGAGAAAUUAAAACAGAGUUAAAAGUGUAUGGAGACUCGCUCCACAAAUUCUGAAAGAAACCCCACAAUUUUUUUUUUUUUGUUUUGUUUUGGAUUAACUUCUAAUUUGAACUUUUACACUCAAUUAGGUUAAAAAUUUUAACAAAUUUAAUGAUUCUAUUAGUUAUUAAUCAUUAAUUAGCCUAAUCGUACUAAAAAAAAUGGUUAAAGUCAAUAAAUUUGAUAAAAUUUCUAAAUUUUUUAAUUAAAAGCUGCUUAAUUCAAAAAAUUAGAAGUUGCGGAGUCUACACCCAAAAAAAUUAGUUGAGGGGGUCUCUCUCUAUACAUCUUUACCUUAAAACUUCAAAAAAAAAAAAAAAAAAAAAAAAAAAAAAAAAAAAGAAAAAAAGCCUUUUCGUGUGAAUUUGCAACAACAGGGCAUUUUUUUGUUUUACAACUUUCCAUUUUUUUUUUUUUUUAACUUCAGGACCAAAUUUCCAAGCACCAAUGUUGAUCUGUUUCCUUAAUCGAANAAAAAAAAGGAAAAAGAAGAGGGGGGGGAGGGGACCUGGAUGGCUAGGGCAUCCAUAUCGGCGCGAAGGGCGACGAAAGGGGGCUCGCCGGAGCCGACGCGGGCGACGACGCCGGUGACGGCGCAGGGGUGGUCGUAGGGGAUCCCCAUGGCGUCGAGCUCCUUCCUCACGAGCUCGCUCGUGGCGACCUCCUCGUACCCGAGCUCCGGGUUCUCGUGGAUCCGCCUCCGCACGCGCACCAUCCACUCCGCCACCUCCGCCUCCCUCGCGCGCCGCAGCAACCCCGCCGGAUCCUCCUCCUCCUCCGCCGCCGCCGCCGAUGACGGCGCCCCAGAGCUAAUGGGGGCGGCGACCGAGAGGAGCACUAGGUGGAGAACGAGCAGGACGAGGAAGAGCAACGAAGAGGGGAAAUCCAUGGUGUUGGGGGCGAUCGGGGACUCGGGGUUUGAGCACUCUCCCUUCGAUCUGGAGAGAGAGAGAGAGAGGGGGGAAGAGGCUCUUUGUUGAGGGAAUUUUUUUCUUUUUUUUUUAUUUUAACUUUUCCUGGUAUAUUUAUAUAGAAGGGAGUGAAAUUUCUGGAUAGUCCUCGAAUAAUUCCUAUAUUGUAACAGGCUUCUUAUUCUUUCUCAUAUAUAUAAUUUUUUUUUUGGAUAAGAACAACUGAACAAGUGACACCACAGCAGAUCGAUUCGUCCCAACGCUGCUGCCCUGCUCGUUUUCUCCCAACAAUCCGAUAAUACCAUCUUAAUCUAUCAUACUCAAAUUUUUUUUUAAAAAAAAUAUAUUAAAAAAAUAUCGUUUUAAAAUUGGAAAAUUAUCUUAUUUUUGUAGAAAAAACAAUCUUAUCCACAAGACGCACGGAUCAGCCGUAAGUACAAAAUUUUUCUAUUCACAUAGACAGAAUCUUUCUUAUAUUUGCAUGACGUACUAACCAUAUACAUCCACGUAUACACAGACAACUCACAAUAUACAUUCAAUCAUAUGCAUGUGUCCAUACAACCAGUCAUUUUUAUAAAUAAUUAUAUACUCUACACACUCCUUAGACACUGAAUGACAUAAUGCAUAAUGCAUCAAGUAUUCUACCGCUUAAAAAUAUUUUCAACCCGCAAGUUUUAUUUGAGAUUCUAAAUAAAUAGUAAGCCGAAAACCAUUUCAAAAAGUAUUUUGAAAAUCGUUUCUCAUAAUUCUCCACGUGUAAAAAUAUUAGAUAUUUUAUCUUCUGAAACCAAUACUUUUAAUAUUAUUGGACAUACAAUAACUUUUACAUAGAAAUAUUUAAAUUAUAUGAACUAUAAAUCAUUUUGAUUUGAAGUCAAUCAAUGAUACUUUGACUUAUAAUUUUGAAUGCAUCCUUUAUUUAGCAACUAAAUAAUACUCUGAACAAGCACUUGUCAUUAGACUUUAGUUUAUACUGUCACUUUAUUUUUGUUGUAAAAAUUAAAAAACCUAUUGAAAAAAUAUUUUCAAAAAUCGUGCAUGACUCGUAUGUAUUGCCAACCAAUCAAAAUCAAAAUCAAAAUUUUUUUUUAAAAAAGACUAAAUUACAAAAACUCCUCGUGUUAAAACUCGAUUUUUUACUUUUUUUUUUGUUACUUAAAAACCUACAUUUUGUCCCCUUAUAAAAUAAAAAAUAUUUACUUCACCCCCUAUCGUUAGUGAUCCGUCAGAGUUUCAUUAUAAAAUUCUUUUUAUGCCAAAAAUACGCUCUGCCCUCUCUACUGUUGCUUCGCCCUCCUCCGCCUUGCAGCCUCGUCGCCUCGCCCUCGCUCACAUCUCUGUCCGCACCCAUAAACACCCCAUCGCCCUCCUCCGCCGCCUCGUCUGCGUCCUCGUUGUCCUUACCCACCACAAUUUCUUUCCCAUUGUCGUGAAAAUGGAGGGGCAACGAGGGUGCAAGCGGAGAAGGAGAGUAGGUGGAGAAGAAAAUUGAAAGAAACUGCGGCUGAUCGAGGCAGCUGAUGAGGAAGAUGAGAGAGGAGACGAAAAUGGUGAGGGGUAAAAUAGUGAUUUUGUCAUCACAGUUCACACCGUACCUCCCGUGAAUAUUUUUUAUUUUACAAGAAAACAAAGUAUAGGUUUUUAAAUGAUAAGAAAAAAAAAUAAAAAAUUGAAUUUUGACAGAAAGUUUUAUGUAAUUUAGCCUUUAAAAAAUUCAGAAUUUUCCAUUUUUGGGUCUUUACUGCUUUAUGAUUUGUCUGGUGGUUAGAACCGGUGCAGGGAACGGGAGCUGUCAUUGAGAAAGAAAUUAUAACUGCACCUCGUGUGCCUGCACUAUUAAACACUGUUAGAAUAAAUACCGCACAGAAAUCUGAUUGUGAGUUAAAUCUAACUAAAUCUUAUUAUGAAAAUAAAUAAAUCAACUUACAGAUGAUCAAUAAAUCCAAAUAAAUACUUAAUUGAUCCGGAAGCGUGCGAGGCACUGCCCUAAGGCGUAUUCCCGUCCUUACGUGCGGGAUUAACCGGAAACACCGCCCCAAGGUACGACUGGAAUUCCUCCUCCUGCGAGCACGAUCGUGAAGAAGGUUGACGGAGACUCUUUCAACACCCGAUGACAAAGAGAUUGAUCAAAAUAGAAUCUAAAAUAAAAUUUAAAUCAUUCUUUGCAAUGUUCAUGUAUAUCAAUGAACAGCAUGCAAAGGUAAAUAUAUAUAGAGGGGUUAUAUGGUGUAACAUUGGAAUCAACCCCAACGUACAAACCUUAUUAUGCACCCUUAAUUCAUGCUUUAAUGUGAAAUAAAGGAGGAAUAAAUUAAAUUUAAUACAUCCAAUUAAUUAACAUAAUAAAAGACAAUAAAUGUAAAUAAUUAUAAAAUUAAAUGAUAUUUAGAGAUUUUGGAUUUUUUCACCAACAAAUCCCCACAAAAUUCAAAAUCACAAAAGAAGAAUUAAACAAACAAAUAAAUAAAUCAUCAGGUGUUUAUACUAUGCAAUAGGCGAGGUGUCUUUAAGAGACUUAACCCCACUUAGUGUAAAUAGUUUCCAUAAGAAGGAAUCGGAGUGAACCAGGUCUUGAACUACGUUCCUUUGUCCCUGACUUCAACUAUCACACACACAGUACAGAAUUCUACGUCGCGGAUCUGUGCGUUAAUGGCCAUGCACAGUACCUUGAUUUUUCAUAAGAGUUUCUAUGUAUAGCCCAUUCACAUAGCCGCGGCCACAUACGGAUACUCUUAUAUAGGUGGUUUUAUCCAUGGAUGUGUGUAGAGUCACAUAUCGCGAAAAUUAUCACCUUGGAUCCCAUUGAGAGCUCUCAGCUCAACCUAAUCCACUACACAGAGCACUACUCACCAUAGGGAAGGGAUUGGAGCUAAAGCUCCUUUAUAUAAACUGUAGAAAGUGCUCUUUGGCCAACCUGACAGUUUGUUUUUACCACAUUGAACCUUCUUCAAAGGAUCUCCUAUCACAAAGGUUAGGUUCCCACUGCAGGAAGGCCCAUUAUGGGCAAGUCCCAUCCCCCUCGAUGACUCCAGGACCUUAGUCCUAUUCAGGCCUUUCGUCAAACAAUCUGCAAGAUUCUAAUCAGAUCUGAUAAAACUCAAAGAAACAAUGAAAAGUUAGCCAUCUAAUAAACUUUUGUCUCAACUUAAAUAUGUUUGUCAACUUUAGAAUUUACCAAAUUCUUUUCCAAAAUAAACAUUAAAAUUUAAAAAAAAAAAAGAAAACAAUCAUAAUGUCAAAAUUUAUCAAUAGAUAAAAGAUUUCCCCCCACAAGUUCUACGAUAUAUCAAAACUUAAAAUCAUGAGGUUAAUCAUGUCUAAUGGGGUUUGGUUCAACAGCAAAUAGAUGGCCUAAACAAUUUUUUAAAAUUUUAUCUCAAUUAGAUCUUUUCAUUACAAAAUAUAAUGCAAGCAAUAUGCAUCAAACAAAAUGAUUACAGUAAAGUGGUGCUGUUGGUUACACGACUUUGUUCAAAGACUGUGCUUAAACAAACUGUGGGUUUCAAAUCCCAAUAUUGAAACAAUAACAAUAAUAUUUAAUAAUAAAGCUUAAAGAAAUCUAACCUCUUUUUUUUUCAGAAAAAUCAGAAAAUAGUUUUUAUAUAUAUACACAAACGCAAAGAAAUCCACACACUAAAAAGUAUUUUACUGCAGCAAAAUUGUUUAAAAUUAAUUUUGCCAUAGCAAAGCUUUAUUAUUAAAUAUUAUUGUUANAAAAAUUUGAUAGCAAAAAGAGCGUUUUACUAUUAAUAGUAUUCCAGCCUAAUUCUAUAUAUAUAUAUAUAUAUAUAUAUAUAUAUAUAUAUUAUAUAAAUUUUAAUUACUAGAUUAAGAUUCUAUUUUUUUUUUUUUCAACUUUUCAACCACUAGUAUGGUUGACAAUCUAACACGCUGUUCACGAGCCAUUUCGUAUUCGACUUGUUAAUAAACAAGCCGAGCAUAAGCUGAUUUUUUUAGCUCAAUAUUUUGACCAGCUUACUCGUGUUCGCUCAUAUUCGGCUCAUUGACAACACCAGUUCUAUAAAUUAAUGAUUUAUAAUAAUAUUCGUUUCAGCUAUUUAAAUAAAAAAAAUUAUUGCAUGUACAUACAUACAUACACCGGGUGCAGGGAAUAAAAGACAAUGGCACGUGCGGAAUUAAACGCCGGUGGAGUUACGGCUGAUUACGUCAUCGGUGGGUGCAACCGUUACAUGUCACGUGGGGCCCGCAUGUCAGCUUCCGCAGCCCUAAUACCAACAAAGCGUUACACCGAACAAUUUCUCGCACGUGACACACGAGCUCGGCGACACGUGCGGAGAAUUGGGCACGCAAAAGUCUCAGAAACUCGCUAUUUAUUAACAGACGCAAUUCGUGUUGAAAAAAAAAGAUGAGACAUUAAAUUUAGUCAACGAAACAAAAAUCAAAACAAAUUUUGAUAAUGCUUGUUGUUUGCAGUAGAAAAUAUGACCACGGUACGGCACGGACACGGUCGCUUUCUCACCGUGACACACUACACGGGUCGCUUAUUCGAUUCAGAGUGAAUUACUGAAUCAUACUUAAGCGGCGAAAUUUGUAGAUUUGAUUUUUCUUUUAAUCGUUUCGAUUCUGUAAAUAAGUAGAUGUUUGAAAUAAAAGAAUAUAAUGAUUAAAUAAUUAGAGAGAUCUUAUUUUUAAGUAGUUUGAAAAGACUUAAACUAAAUAAAAAUAUUUUAGUAAAAUUGAAUGAACCACAAGCUGGGUCGACCGAUGCUCGCCAUUUUUUAUUAUUGCUUUCACAGGCUCCCGCCAACAUCAGCUCAAUCACACAUACAGUUUACGUCGCCUAGCGAUGUAAGGCUCAUCGACACUUUCGACUGGUGAAUCAGCUCCGAUAACAAAUGUAAUAGCCCCGCCCAUUAGCGAUUAGUAGUAGCAACUUAUUGAGUCCAAAUUACCGAUCCAAAAUGAUUAGUCCAGUUAUUAUUGUUAGGAUUCAUAGUCUUUUAUAUUUCUAGUUAAAAUUUCAUUUUCUUCUGAUAUGGAAUUAUCGUGUUUCACAGAUUUUAAUAAAGAUGUUUGUGAACAAGGUUGGAUCUGGAUAAUUUAUCAAUGUAUCUAUCGGAUCCACUUGAGUUCGUUUGGAUAACGACGAUCCGUAUAUUAUCAACUUAAAAUUGGAUACAGGUCGGGUAUAGAUUAAGUAUAAAUAUCUGUUUGCAUAUCGAUAAAAGUACAAAUAUUUAUUGCAUAAUAAGUUCCAAACAAGGAUAUAAAAUUGAGCAAAAAUUGUAUGAGCAUCGUUCCCAAACUAUCAGUUUGGGGAUGAUGCCCCCAUCCUCACCCUCCAUUCCUAUCCAUCAAUUUUUUUUCUUUCUCUCUCUAAAAAUUCACGCCGACAAUUUUUUCUUCUUUUUUUCCCGUUUUCGGCCGUGCGAUGGGCACAGAUGCCCAUACAAUUUUUGCCCUAUAAAAUUUGCAAUUGUUACAUAUGUACUAAUUACUCUAAAACACGUCCAACCACCACCCUAUACAAAGUACAAACACAAUAAUAUGACUGUUAAAUUUAUAUUGAUAAAUCCAAACAUGUACAAUAUGAUGAUAUAAAACACAUAUAACUAGUUAUAUAACAUACAAUAUGUAAGUCCAAAACACAGCCACCUACUACAAUAUAGUCAAAACACACAUACAAUGAGUCUAAAAUAUUAUAUCAAGUUUUUUUCUUCUUCUUCUCUUUUUAUAGCUUUUAACUUUUAAUGAUUGGAUAUUUUAUCAGGGUGGGGUUCGGGUUCGGAUUCGGGUGUAGGUCUAGAUAUAAAAACUAUUUCGGAUUCUACCCAUCAAAGGAUCGGAUCCGAGUUGGGUUCAAGUCAAAUAAAGAUAUAAGGUAUUCAGGUCCAUUCCUGAAACUCUAAAAGGUAAAUUUUUUUAUCCACAUGCUAUUCACUUUUAAUCGGUUCCGGACUACGUAUGAGUCAGGUCCGAAAAAGGUCCAGAUCGGAUACAGAAUAUGUAGUAUUUUAAACUUCUCUAGAGCUUAAUAUAUUUACAAUUUUUGAAAGGAACAAAUCAUAUAGCUAAAUUUAUUAGGAGGUUAAAUUACAAAAGAAAUAAUUUGGAAAUUUACAUUUUUAGAUUUGAUUUCUUUUUUUUGGAUCUGAGAUUUAUGAACCUUGUUGCUAGGCUUGGAUACAUACAAGUACCAUUGGACACCAUUUAAUGGUACAACAUUUAUCCAAUAAUAAUAGAAAAAUUACUAUUUAUACAUCCAAAAAAACGUGUAAAUCAUACGCCCUCUUAUUCUAGAGUUUAUAAAUUUUUUAAAAUUUUUAACAUAAAAAGAAAAAAAAAAUAUUGACAUGAGAAGGGCCUAUGGUCCCUAACUUUUUUUUUUUUUUGCUUUUUUAUUUUUUGCAAUCAGAUCUUUAACCUUCAUAAUUAAGUAUACGAAAUGAUCUUUAUCCUCUGCCUAUGAAGCGCAUCCAUCUUGUCAAGCCCAAUCUUACCACCCCCAAUGAUCUUUAUUAAGUUAGCGUGAACUAUUUCAUCAAAAUUAAUAAAAAUUUAGAUAGUUGAGAUCUAGCUGCAACAAAAUAUAAAGAUAAAUUAGAAAUCUAAAUAUUUAAGAACCAAAGUGAAAAACUAGGCAAAGGUCCACACUCUGUGUUGUAUUUGUAGGAGUUACAGGUUAGGGAACAUCGUGCAAUUACCUCCCCCAGGUUUCAAUAUGGAUGCAAAGAACCUGGGGGAGGUGCCCCGACUAUCAAAAUCCCACCCCGCCUCCUGUCCCGAAUUCGUAACUGGUUAAAAAAUAUAUUCCAUAAUCCGCCCCACCUCGUAACCUGCCUCCCGCUGGCGCCCGAAUCCGUCCCGCCAACUAAUUUUUUUUUUAUAAAAUUAUUAAUAUUUUAUAAAAUAUAAAUUAAUAAUUUUUAAUAAUAUUAUAUAUAUAUAUAAUUAAAAAUAUUAAUUAUAAAAAUUAAAAAUAUCAAUCACAAUUUUAAGCAAAAUUUAAAAAUUUUAAAUACAGGAGAAAUGAUAGCACUAAUUUAUUUGUAUUUUGAACUUUUUUUAUAAAUACAUUAUUUUUUAGAAAUAUUUUUUUAAAUAUAAAUAAUUUUUAGGGCAGAUUCGAGACGGAUUAUGGUGGUGCAGAUUCGGGGCAGGUCAAAAUUUCUUCCGUUUCCUACCCUAAAUCCAUUUCAGAUUAUAAAAAAUUAUUCCGUUUUUCACCCUGAAUUUAUUUAUUUUCUCUUAUUUACUGCUCAUUUGGGGCGGAUCGGGGCGGGAGCACUACGAACCUGAGAUGUAGGGACCAUUGUGCAAUUAAUUUGGAUCCUACCUAAGGACCAUGUGCAAUUAAUUUGGAUCCUCCCUGUUCCUAAAAGGCCUUUAAUGAGAUGUGUUGUAUUGGAAAAUUUACAUGAUGUUUUUAAUUGUGCUUGUAAAUUAGAAGAAUUUCUUUAUAUUACAUAUGUUAACAAAUCAAUAGCUCCUAAGGAAUAGUAUUUUAGUACAAUUCUUAAAAUUGUUAAAAAUGCCAACACUCACAUUAAAUUAUUAUUUGAUAUAGGAGUCCGGCUACUAUACUCUUAUGAGUACGAUCGCCUUCGUAUUCAUAAGUUGUUUUCGAUAAUAGAGCUUCUGAAUCGACGAUCCAUACCGUUAAACAUUAUCUAGAGAUUUUUAAAACUUAUAGAAAUCAGAUUUUAUAAAUUUUCGAUAUCAUUUACCUUAAGAUCAAAAGCUCACAAAAUUGACAGUUUUUAACGGUCAGUAUGAGAUAUUUGCUUGUUUAACGGUGUAAAAGAAUCGGAAUAGAUUGAAUUUUUGAUAGAAAAUUCUAUUCACUACCUAGAUAAAGAUUAAUAACUCCGAUCUUAAAUUGAAGGAUCUAAUCAUCUAUUUUUAUGAUGUCGUUUGAUUUUGACCGUUCAUUUUAUACCCGCUUGAUGGACUUUAUAAUGGUUUUAAAAAAUUACGAAAUUUAUUUUCUAAAAGUUUCAAAUACUCUAGAUCAUGUUUAACGGUGUGGAUCGUCGAUUCAAAAGCCCCAACAUCGAAAACAACUUAUAAGUACGAAAGGCUCUAUACUCAUAAGAGUAUAGUAGCCCUACUCUUGAUAUAGAUCAAAUAUAUAUGACCAAUUUGCAUAAAAAAUUCACAAGUUUUGAAUUUUUGUAAAAUUGGACCGUCUUUUUCGAUUUUGCAGAUUCGAACUGAAUUUUCAACAAACUGAUCAAAAUAUUUUUAUUCCUUUCUCUCUUUUCUUUUUUUCCUUCAGUUUUUUUUUUUCUCUCCAACCCUUAUCGCCUACUCCACCACCUCCGCCAUGUCGGCGACGGUAACGAGGGUGGCACCACAUCCUCUUCCUUCAUCUCCUCCUCUGCCAGCACCAACACUCCUCGGCGACGGUAACAAAGACAACACCGCCUCCUCCGCUUCAACCUCCGUCGGCUCCAGAGAAGCAGAAGGAGAACUCGAAGCGGGCCCAGAUAAGGGCGGAGCGGACGAAGGGUGGCACCACAUCCUCUUCCUUCAUCUCCUCCUCUGCCAGCACCAACACUCCUCGGCGACGGUAACAAAGACAACACCGCCUCCUCCGCUUCAACCUCCGUCGGCUCCAGAGAAGCAGAAGGAGAACUCGAAGCGGGCCCAGAUAAGGGCGGAGCGGACGAAGGGUGGCACCACAUCCUCUUCCUUCAUCUCCUCCUCUGCCAGCACCAACACUCCUCGGCGACGGUAACAANAGAUGGAGGGACACGGAGAGGGGAAGGGAAGAGGAGGGACAUGUGAGUUAUAAAAAAAGAAUGAUAUCUAAAGUAAAAAAAAAAAAAUAAAGAAAAAAUUUUUUCUCUCCAAAAGACUAUUAUAUAUCGUUACUGUUACCGAAAAGACUAAAAAUUAGAGAAAAAAAAAGAAGAAGAUGAAGAUUACACUGUUAAAAUAAAAUUGCAUUGUUUUAUAAGAAAAUUGCACUGUUUAAUAUGAACGUUAUACUCUUUGAGAUGAAAAUUAUAUUAUUUGAAAUAAAAAUUGUACUCUUUCGAUAAAAAUUAUAUUGUUUAAGAAAAAAUUGCACUAUUUUUCGACCAUCAUCGUCUCAUCAUCUUCUUCUUCCUCUUCCCUUAACCCCUUUCUCGCCCUCCACCUACGACCCCCAUCCUCACCAACGCAACCCUUUCUACCCUGUGCGCCACAUUGAAGUGCCGAAACGCGGAAACAACCUACCUUUCUUCCUCUUCUUUUUUUUUUUUUUUUUCCUUCGUUCUUUUUUUAACUCCAACCCUCAUCCACUCCUUCACCGCCUCCGCAGCCCUCGGCGACAGUAACAAGAGCAGCGCCACCUCCUCUUCCUCCAUCUUCUCCUCCGUCGACGCCGGCGGCUCUCAUCGACGAUAACGAGGACGACGCCUCCUCCUCUUCCUCCGCUUCCACCCCUUGAAGGAGAAGGAGAACUCGAAGGGAGCCCGAGUAAGGGCUGGGCGGACGAAGGUGAUGAGGUCGUUUCCGUGUUUCGAGGUUCCGAUGGGGUGUGCGGGGUAGAGAGACUCCCGUUGGUGAGAAUGGGGGUCGGGUGGAGGGGAGGAGGAGGAGGGGGUCAAGGAAAAAGGAAGAUAAAGAUGAAGAUGAAGAUGAGGCGAUAAAGGUCGGAUAGUAGUACAAUUUUUUCUAAAACAGUAUAAUUUUUAUUGAAAGAGUACAAUUUUUAUUUCAAAGAAUGUAAUUUUCAUAUCAAAAAGUACAACGUUCAUAUUAAAUAGUACAAUUUUCUUGUAAAAUAGUGUAAUUUUAUUUUAAAAGUAUAACCUUCAUCUUCUUCUUUCUUUUUUUCUGAUUCUUAAACUUUUCGGUAGCAGCAACAAUAUAUAAUGGUCUUUCAAAGAGAUUUUUUUUUUACUUUUUAUUCUUACUUUUUCAACCUCUAAAUUUUUAUUCGCUCCUUGAAGAUGAACGCGUUUUUUUUCCUCACCCUCAUGGGCAGCGAGCAUCUCCUCAACAAUGACCCCAUCGCCUCCGUCCGCUCCGCCCUCACCCGGGUCCGUUUUGAAUUCUCCUUCUCCUUCUUCGGCACUGACAAAAGCGAAGGAGGUGGCGCCGCCCUCUUUGCUAUCGCUGAGGGCCGCUGGCGCCGGUGGAGAAGGAGAUGGAGGAAGAGAGAAUGGCGUCGCCCUCGUUAUCGUCGCCGAGGCUGCGGAGGAGGUGGAGAAGGUGAUGAGGUCGAAGAAAAAAAAAAAGAACGAAGAAAAAGAAAAAGAGAGAGAGAGAGAGAGAGAGAGAGAGAGAAAGAAAGGAAUAAGGGUAUUUUUAGUCAAUUUGUUGAGAAUCUGAUCCGAAUAUGCAAAAGUUCAAAUCUUGUGAAUUUUUUAUGCAAAUUAGCUAAUAUAUAUACAUAUUAUAUAAUUAUUUAAUUUUGCGGUUUGGUUUGCUUAGUUCAAAAGUCAAAACCAAAUCGAGACCAAAAACUCAAAUUUCAAAAAAAUCACAACUGAAUCAAACCGAAAAAUCAAUUUCACCGAACGAAAUAGACUUAUUUUGUUUGAUUCGGCUUGGUUUUUUAUUUGGACCCCAAUUGUGAACAACCCUAAGUAUGAGGUGCAAUCUUGUGGCUCAGAUAAAACAAGCAACAAACUGUUAUUUUUUGGUUUUUUUUUUGUUUUUUUUUUUGACAGAGAAAAGUAGUGAGCUACCGCCUAUCGCAUUCAUUUUAUAGAUUAAUUACACUUUUGGUCCUCAAAUUUUAAGACGCAGAACAAUUUGAUUCUUAAAUUUUAAUUUACUGUAAUUAUUGGUUCGAAUGUUUUGAAUUGUAAUAAUUCAGUUCUAUAACUCAAUUUAGUUGGCUGUAAACAUUGUUGUGUCGCCAAUGCAAAAAUGAUGUGGCAAUAUUAUGACUAAAAAUACAGUAAUAAUUAAAAUUCACAUCACUUUCGCAUCAGUAAUUCAUUAAUAUUUAGCUUAAUAAAUUAGAUUUGAUCUUAAUUAUAAUAAUUUAUUCGAAUCAAAAGAUUAUAUUAAAUUAAAGUUUAUGAACUAAAAUGUCACGCGGCCUCAUAAUUAAAGAUCCGAAAAGACUUUUGCAACAAAAUGUUUUCUAUUAAAAAUCUUCUUUUUUAAAAAAAAUUUUCAUUUGUUUGGUUCAAAAAAUAAAAUUAAAAUUUUUUUUUGGAUUUCAUAAGAAACAAGUAUUUUUCUUUUCUAUUUUUUAAAAAAUUACUAAAUUUCAUAAAAUAUGAAAAAAUAUAUUUUCAAAAAUGUUAGUUUUUUUGGGAAUCAAAUUACCAGAAAACUAAAAAUAGAGUAUUUCAUGAAAAACCUUUUCUUUGCAAAAAUUAUUUUUAUGUCUUAUAAAGAUCCAAACAACCUCUUAAGGUGUGUUUCGUUGACCGUAAAAUGUUCCUAAAAUUUUUUUUGGGCUUGAAAAAUUAUUUUUUGUAUGUUUGUUUAGUCGUAAAAUUUUAUUUUUACAAAUUUAAGAAAAAUAGAACUUUUUUGUUUUCUAAUCGUAAAAUCUUUUUCAUUUAUUUUUUUUUCAACUAAACAAAUUUUGAUAAAAAAUUAUUAUUUUUUCUAUAUAUCCAAACAUUAUAAAACACAAAGCUUUUCUUCCAUAAAAAAAUUUUUUAUAAAAAAUUAAUUUUCACCAUUUUGCCUGGAACCAAACCUAGUUAGUAAAUUCGCGAAUUAUUCAGGAAUUAUUAAAAAUCCGAAUUAAGCGGUCUAUUUAUAAAUUUUUCAGAAAGAAAGAGAAUUAUUCGCGAAUUUUUUGGGCCAGCCGAAUUAUUCGUGAAUAAUUCGCGAAUUAUUUGCGAAUUAUUGCCGAAUUAUUGAAAAUAUGAAUAAAAAACUUAUAAUUUUAUUUUUAAAUAUAAAUUAUUUUAUAUUUUAUAUCUUAUAUUUUAUAUUUUAUAUCAAAUCCGUUUUUUAAGCCGAAUUUUUCAACGAAUUUAAAAAUUAGAAAAUAAAUUUUAUACGCAUUAUAUCCGUACCGAAUUUUUGCCGAAUCCGAAUUAACUAACUAUGGAACCAAACACCCCUUAAUUAGCUUAAAAAUGUCAAAAAAAUAAAAUAAAAUUUAAAUUUAAAAUUUUACAUAUUAAUUAUCAAUUUUUUUUGAUUAAUUUCAUACAUAUCUCUGCAAAUAUAGUGAAUAACAAAUAUAUCCCUACAAAAUUCACUUUCAUAUAUUGUCCAUGCAAAAGUCCUAAUGUUUUCAAGUAUAUCCUUCUGCUUUAUUACCGUCAGAGAAUCAUUUAUAUUUUUAAUUUUGCCAUCACAAAUAUAUCCCUCCAAAGCUAUACUAGUAUAAUAUAAAAGGGUAAAAAUGUCAAAAACUAAUUAGUAUUAAAUAUUUAACCUAUGGUUAACUAACUUUUUCUAACAGAUUCUAACGUCAGGGGCAUAUUUGAAAAUAUCAUGACUCUUAUAGAGACAAUAUAUAAAAAUUAAAUUUUAUAGGGAUAUAUUUGAUAUUUACUAUAUUUGAAGGGACAUGUAUGAAAUUAUUAUUAUUAUUGGGUCACUUGAGCGGAAUUAUAUUACGCGUCGCUUUUUUUCGAUCUGGCAAAUCGUUUGUGGGCCCCCGAAAGAACUUUUCAUUUAAUAAAAAAACACGUGCGUUUAAAAAAUGUCUCCGUCGCCGCAACACAAGAUGCCAUCAUACAGUGGAAAAUCAAGCUGUACGAAUUGCAACCAAUGAGGUUUUCUUUUAAAAAAAAAUGAAAAAAAUGAAAAUGACAUUGAAAAAAAAAAAAAUUUAAAUUACAGUUACAUAAUGUUGGUUUAAAGAGGUCAGCAAUCAGCAUCUUGCCUUACGACAGGAGAUUAGAUUAGGCUGAGUCGCGCUCAGAAUGACGAGAGAUCAGGUUGGACCGAGUUUUGUUCGAAAUGGCAUGAGACUAAUUGAGCAGAGUCACAAUUGAGAUCUGUGGGUGCUUUAUCUGUACGUUUUAAGUAAACUUAUUAUGUUUUUCUAACAACUCGAUCUUUUGGAAUUAAUGGUUAGCGCCAACGAUCCGACAACUGCGAAUAUGUGCAGGUGCUGUAGAGGGGGAGGGAUUGUUAACUUAAAGGGCCAACAUAUCACGCUGCGGCGGAAGGCCGGAUUAGGCCGAGUCAUAUUCGAAGUAAUGUGAGAUUAGUCAGGCCAAGUCACAAAUCGAAACCCUUAAACGUUAUUUCUAUACGCUUUAGGCUUCGUUUGGGAUUGCGGAGAAAUUGUGUUUCAUAUAUCGCGAUGAGUUAGUUACCAUAUAUUUUCUGCAAUCUCACCGGAGAACGCAGAAGCAUAUCCGUAUAUGCUUUUUCCUCAACUCUAUUUUAUCUAAUAGCGUUAGAUAGAUCUCAAUACCAAACUAAGCUUUAAGUAAAUUAGUUGUAUUUUUCUAACAGUUUGAAUUUUUUUUAUUAAUGAUUAGCGCCGACGAUCCAACACAUGAGACGAUAUUAUUAUUUUAACCAAUCAAAUUAUUUUUCUGUAAUUCAACCAUUUCGUCAUAAUUUAAGCUAAAUAUUUUUAUUACAUUUCACUAUAAAAGAAUUAUUUUAAUAAUAAUUAAUGUGAUUGAGAGUGAGUUGGAUACUCAAACUCUAGUCCUCGGGUAAUCACUUUUACUCAGAAAAACAUAAAAAAUUAUUUUUAAAAAAAACUCUCGCUUGCCUCCGAAAAUUAUUUAUUUUUUCAAUAUAAAAAAUUAGUAUUUUUUUAGUUAAAAUUUUCAAGAAAUAAAAAUAUUAGUUUUUUCUAACAUGUGGAAUUAUUUUUUAGAAAAAGUAGUUUUUUUUUUUUUUUGUAGCUUAACAGAUAAAAAAAAAAUGAAAAAGAGAGUUUUUUCAUGGAUUUUUUUUUCAGAACAAUAAUGUUUUAUAUUUUUCCAAAAAAUCAAAUACCAUGCAUGACACUUUGGUUUACAAACUUUAAAUUAUUAUAAUUUAGAUAAAUAUUUUAGAUUAACACAAAUUAGUCAAAUUUAAUUGAUCGAAUAAUUCUGGUUUGCAGAGAUGACAGUAAUAUGACAUCUUAUUAAUUGCCAGAUUAUUAAUUAUAUUCCUCUUAUAUUACUUAUACAUUAGAUAAACGAUAUUAUUUAGCUAAUUAAAUUACAUUAUAUGGUUUAAUUAUAAUAAUUUAAAAAGUUUAAAGCGAAAAUCACAAUGAAUUAAAGAUUAGGGAAAACUUCAAAUACCCUACCUGUGGCUUUGCACUUUCUCACUUUAGUACCCUAUGGUUUAAAGUGUAUCUAGUUAGUACCCUGCGGUUUGGCACUUUCUCAGCUUAGUACCCUGUGGUUUAAAGUGUAUCAAGUUAGUACCAUGUGGUUUCGUAUUUUCUCAUUUUAGUACCCUGUGGUUUAAUAUUUCGUUAAAUUAUAUACAAAAAACUUCAGAUAUCCUACCUAGGUUUAUCGAAUAUUCAUUUUAGUACCUUUUAGUUUUAACUUUGUCACUGAUUUAGCGAAAAAAAAAACCCGAAAUGGAUAAUAAAAAGAGAAAAAUAAAACUACAGGGUACUAACUUGAUACAAAAAUGAAACCACAGAGUACUAACUUGAUACACCUUAAAUCACAGGGUACUAAAGUGAGAAAGUGCAAAACCAAAGGAUACUAACUUGAUACACUUAAAACCACAAGGUACUAUAAUAAGAAAAUGCGAAAUUACUGGGGGGUUAUUUGAAGUUUUCCCUAAAGCUUAAGAAGUAAGUGUCACAAGUCUCAAAGUAUGAGGCCAAAAGUGUGAUUCAGCCAAAAUAAAAUAAAAUAAAGUGAUAGUGACAUUGUAUUCAAUCUAAAAGCAAGGUACAAAAAAUACCACGUGUAAAUACAUUCUCCAAAUAUAUAAACAUUAAAAUGUUAUGUAAGUCCAACUAAUUUUGGAAGCAUUUUAACUCUUUCCCAUUUUAAUACAAUAAAAUGAUGUUGAAAUUUAUCUUUAUUUAGUAUAAAAAAAGAACUUUGGACAGAUCACAAUUUGCUCUUUUACAAUUUAUCUUUAUUUUAUUUUAUAAUUCUAUGCUUUAAAUAAUUGUAUUUUAUUAUUACCUUGAAUUUUAUUUUUAUUUUGCCAUAAAAAUUUACUGGUAAAUGGAAGGGUAAAGUAAAUCAAUCAUAGAAUGAUCAAUAUAUACUAUAAAAUAAUAAAAUAUCAGAAACUUAUAUUUUGUCUCCUUCAAAUUUCAGAAAUAUUUUCAGAGUAUUACAGUGUUAAUAAAGAGGCCAAAAAUGACUAGAUUAUUCUUAUUUGCUCUAUAAAGAAAAAUUAAUUUUUUUAUAUAUUUGUUAUUUUUAAAGAUAUGGUGUAAGUGAUAGAAAUAAAUAGAAUAGUGGCAAAACUUUGAUGUAGGGCGACUAAAUGCAUCAAUUCAAAAUUUUGAGAGGUUAAAAUAUAAAUUUUUGAAAGCGAGGGAGAAAAACUGAAAAUACAAAUAUUAACAGAGAAAUUUUCUAUAUUUAUGCACCAUAUUAUCUUAUUUUCCUAUUCUAUGAUGAUAAGCAUUAAUAUACAUAGUUGUUACGCAUAGUUUUUUGAACUAGAGAAUGCCAAAUACAAAUCCACUAAACCGCAAUACAGUUUUGACUAUUUAUUGUUAGCUAAAGUAGAUCCUAUUUCGUAUAAGCUCAGAAAACUAGCAAGUUGAGUUUAGUUGAGUCUAAUAAAUUGAGUUAUGAUGCGGCCUCAAUAGACCUAAUGACAAAAGACUCAAUAAUAAACGUAAUGUUCAGAUGAAUUAAGACGAGUCGAAGCCUACGAGCGCUAUUGCUGAGCCCUUAAAUGCAAUAAAUGCGCUCUUUCUAUCAAUACAUGCUUUUGAACACUUAAGAUCUACAUAUAGAUGGGAUGGGUAAGUUAAAAUUUACACAACUGACUAAUAAAUAGAUUGAUAAAAUCUACCCAAUUUUAAAAUUUGCCUUGUUAAUUUAAAAUAAGUUUAUGGGGUAGACCAUGGGCUGACGCAGAACAGGGCAUGUGAUAACAAAAAAUCACUCCCUCGAUUUUUAUUCUUUUAUAAUUUACAUUUCAAUAUUAUCAAGUUUUUCUUAGUUAGAUCCCUCUGCCAGUUAUAAAAUAAAAGAGAAAAAAAAAAAAAAAAUCUAAAGCCUUGUUUGGUAUCAUUAUUCUUUUAUUAUUUUUUAAAAUACUAAUUUUUUAUAAUUUGAUGUGUUUGAAAAAAAAAAAUAACUUCUAUUGUUAUAAUUGAUUAACUUGCAAUACAUUCAAUUGAGUAAUAAACGAUACCUUAUUUUUAAAAAAAUUUGAAAGCAAAAAUUAAAUUUUAUUUUUUGUUGCGAAGCCUCUGAAUGAAAAAAUUGUAAGCAAUCCACCGUACAUUCUUUCGCCUUUUAAUACACAAAAUUCUAUUUAAAAAAUAAAAAACAAAACAUGAUGCCAAACAAGAACUAAAAUUUUUAUUUUUUUUAACUAUCAAUAAUGCAUGAGAGUUGUUGGCAUUCUAUCAAACCGACGUUAAUAAUCAGACUCAAUCCGAUAAUAAUUAUUAUGUUAUCUAAUUAGACUAAAUUUAAUCCCAUUAUAAAUUUGUAAAACUAAUUAGAGAUUCUUUCUAAUUAAAUUACGAUGACGAAUAAUAAACUGAUUCAGUUUAAUCUUCUACUUACCUUCCUGGUGUUGAAAAUCCUUGCAAACACACAGAAAAUUGCAAGAAAUUUUGUAGACAUUUGUAAGAAAUUUGUGUGUCAUCUUAUAAGUUAGCAAAUCCACAUCCUCCAUAAGUCCAUUGAUCCUAGAGAAUCUUGAAUGGUGGACUGUAAACCUAGCUUGUCCGCAACUUGAUUUAUCGCGGAUUUGGAGAGUUAGACAAUCUUCAUUGACUAUCCAAGAACAUACGAAUCAACCUCAAGAACCCUAAACCGAUCACGUUCGAAGAAAAAUUAACGACGGCUCACAUUAAAGGUACGAUCGAAUACAUCUGCUGCAAAAGUCAAAGUCCAUUUGGUUUCCGACAACGCCACCUUCCAAAUGGGCCAUGCAUAGUUUUAUACAAAUAUUAAAUUGAUUAUUAAAGCACAACAAAAAUUUCCAAUUCUUUUAUUGAUGAAAGGUUUUCUUUUUUUUUGCAUAAAAAAUUUAUUAAUUUUACAUUUUUAUAAAAGCGGAGAAACUGAUGAAAAUUCAUGUAUCUUAAAUUACAUCUUGUGAGAAAAAUAUCCUAUUUAUGAAGGAUUACGCUGGUUUGGUAUCGAAUCUUGAGAAAAGCAUCAAGGUUUACAUCAAAGUGGUAACAUGUAAUUAAGAUUUGAAAACAACCAUUAGUUUAAAGGGUUUGCAUAGAGUUUUGGUCGAGUAAAUGCAAUCUAAGGGAACAAGAAUUUGAUCACAUUAAUAACAUCUCGAUUCUUAAUUCAAAAGCAUAAGUAAAAUACUGCUCCUAUGACAAGAAAGGGAAAUUCAUGGAAACAUGAGAUUCAUCAAGUGUUUUGAUUGAAAAGUACCUCAUGCGUAGAUAUCCAAGCCUCGGCAGCAAAAUGUGCACAAAUGACUCCCGAAUUCGGAUAUCACAUCGACCAGUCCACCGUGGCCGCCAACGGCUGUUACCUGCGUAGCAACAUAGGAGAUCGAGGGAUCAGCUUCAUCGAUUUGGUUUCAUAUGAGCAUCAUCAAACAGAAAUCAUCCAGUUAAAGAUUGUAAAUGGAGAAGAGUAGUUUACAGAGGUUUUGAUGGUCUAAAUGACCGGAUAACGAAACAUUACCAAAUUACCGGCCAUUCAUAGAAUGCAAGUUCUAUCAACAUCGAUUUCUCUCAGUGCAAUUACUGUAUCAUUUGAGAAAGUAAAAUGUUUCAUAUGAUUGAUUUAUGGAAUUAAGCAGCAUUUGUCACUCUGGCUCAAAUAGGACAUUGAGGCGACUUAUAAUCAAAAGUUUCAUUCUCUACAAUCAUCUAGAUUAUCAUAGAAUAGGAAAAUAAGAUAAUAUUUUGCAUAAAUAUAGAAAAUUUCUCUUCCACAUGAUUUUCUAGAGGGGUUGCUUUCAAGUUCCCAUGAGAGUUCAGCUACAGCCACAAACAAGCCUUACAAUUUUCAAUUGAAACAAGCAGUUUCAUUGAUCUCCUAAUUUUGCCUUCGCCAGGGCACACAGCAAAGAAAGAAAACAAUCUUGGCAGUCAAUUAGAAAAAAAAUCUUGGUAGUCAAUUAACCUAACUAAUAAAUUUAUCAAAUAUACAGGAUAAGUUAUGGUCCUUACAUGGCAUACUCUAGCUUCUGAAUUGGCAAAAUAUUUCCGUGCUACAAAUUAAGGAAAGAGAGAUGGAAAUUACCCCAGAUGGAUGAACUGAUAUGCAAAAGGCUGAAUGAGGAGCACACUUUAUUUGUGAAAGAAUCGACCCAUCUAAUGUGAAACGUGAGAGCAGAGGCUCUGAACCAACUGCUAGAAUCUGAAUUCAGAAAAGUAAUAGUCGGUAAAUGAAGGUAAAGAAGUGACCAGAGUUGCAAACAUAAAAACUGAAUCCGAGGGUUAAAGCAGACGGUGGAAAACUGAAUUAUAAUAACACAUAGAUAAUGAUAAACAUAAACAUGAACACAUAGGAAGUUCUGUUUUUCUCAUAUGCAGUAUCAAGUAUUAAAGUAUUAUUUACGAAGCCCUGCGCAUUGCAGCAUCCUUUUUUUUAAAGCAGUAUAAUAUGUAAAGGGCCUAAAGUAACAAGAAUAGAAAAUGUCCAUCCUACAAAUGCAAAUAAACCAUUUUGCAUUGACAAGCUGUUAGCAGGGAACAUCUUACUUGGUUCCCAUGAAAAAGUACAUCCUGAACAGGAGCACGGCAAUCUACACUAAAAAUGCACUCAUUUGACAGCAAGCUCCAAACUGAUAGACUAUUAGAAGUGCCACAAACCUGAAAACGAUUAGUAGUUUAGUAAUAGAGAGGUAAGGAAUAAGUAACAAAUUUCACUGCUAGUCCAAACCAAAAUAAAAGGAACACUUCGCAUAGCGCAUCAAUUCAAAUGGAAAAGGGAAAUGAGAAAAAUGCAACGCAUGGAGUUUAAUUUUGCUUGAAGUUUUUAGCGUUAUUUUGUAUGAGCUUAGACACCUUGAGUAAAGGAAACAAGUACUAGCUAACUUGUAUUAGUUGGAAAAACUUUUACCAUCCAGCUUUCGCUUGUGUCGAUGGCAAUGGAACUAACCCAUGCAGACUCCUUGAGCUUACGAUUCUUGUCUGGGUAUAAUAUUUGAGUACAUCUUCCACUUCUGCAAUCUGUAUUUAAGUGCAUAUGAGAAAACAUAGAUAAGCAUCAUACAUGCAUGAAUUUUAGAUGCCCGGGUAUGUAUAGGUCUUAUCAAGGGCCGAUGCAACAAGACAAGCUUGUCAAGGAAGCUAACAAAAGAGAUGAUUACUAGGCGUCGGGAUUACGAACAAAUUUUAUACUAACACCAAUUAAUAGCAGAAAUGCAUUCUUUUUGGCAUAAUAUGAAAAUUAUUUCUUUAGCAGGAGUAACUUCAUUCUUUUACAGGCCAUGAUGGAUAAUCCAAAAACCAAUAUUGUUUAUCAUACUGAUAGAGUCACAGAUGGAUAUUUGUUGACUUUCAUAAAUUUAAUGAAGAAGCAACAAUAAAGUCUUCUUGCAACUAAAUAUAAGAUAUAAACCUCACUAACUAGAUUGACAUAGAAAAGCUUUUAGGAUCUGUAACCUACAAAAACUAAUACAAACUAAGAAUAGUAGAAAAUAUAAACCCACCCCAUAUCCGGGCUGUUCCAUCCUCUGAACCUGUUAUGAUCUGAUACAAGAAAAACAAAACAUUAGCAAACAAGAAAAUAUAAAAUGUAUAUCUCCACAUGAUUAAUGCAAUACCAAGGCGCUUGUGAGAAAUUUGCUAGACAAAUGACAGGUAGGGUUACCAAACUUAUCAGUUCCAGUUAAGGUUCAUAUAACCCAGUAGCAGCCUUCAUGUGUUAUAGUAGGAACAAAAUCAGCUAAGUGCCUAAGAAAAAAAGAAUAUCCUAUAAAGAGGGUUCUUCAUCUUCGCGACACAACAAAGAAAACGAGAAAAAUGUAAUUGCAUGUAACCUCUCGAUAUCGAAAGAAACAAACCAAUGCCUAUGUUAUCUACUGAAGGAAAAACAGAGGAUGAAGAGCGUGUCACUUACCAUAUAGGUCAAAUGUUCGCAAACCUUAUCCCCACAUGAAUAGAAACUGUCUCCCAAAUUUGAAUCCAUUUAACAUUGAGUGAAAUUGAUAAAAAACAAUGAGGAAAUGAACAAACCUGGUUGCUUGAUGUUCGAACUGCAAUGCUAUGCAAAUACUCAGAAUGCCCCUUAAAGAUCAUUUUACAUUUGCCAGUCUCCUGCAGCAGCAAUUAUGUCCAAUGAAUAGGCAGUAAUGAUAAAUUACAACAUGAGAAAGAGCUUAGUUUAUAAGUUUACAAGUUGUCAAAGUUUCUACUAAUGUCAAGCAAGAUCAUUUUUCUCUCUUUAAAAUGAGCUUUCAACCUAAUCUAUUUACCUUAUAGAGAUACAUACCACAUCCCAACAAUAUGCGCAUGCAUCACCAGAGGCUGAAUAAAUGGAACCAUCCUAUUCAAGAAGAAAGAACAUCAUUUAAAUGAGAAAAAGAACUAACCAGUAAUGAGUGUCGCUUGCGGACAUGAAAGGAUAGUGAAAGAGAUCAGUUCUUAUUUCAGGGGCUCUAAAUAAAAUGCAAAGUAUUAACACAGUCAUUUUCUGGAGACCGAUCUAUGCCAUUUGGAGAAUCAUCUUUGCCCCUUAUUAUAUGCCCUAAAAGAACUUCAAAAAUGAUUCUAUUAUCUUUAUAUCACAUUUUGCAGGGGACAAGAUUUAUGCAUCCGCUGAAAGGAGAAAUGCUGAUUAUUUUUAAAAAGGAGAGCUUUGGUGAAGGUUUCAGUGCUAAGCCUCAGUUCCAACUCUCCAUAUCAGAUCAGUUAAAAGGUUCAUAUUCCUGAUUUGCACAUACAUUUUAAGUUUGGCCCAAAUGACUUUAAGAUUCAGCUGUUCCAGUUUUGUUAAUUUUAGAUUUUAGUUUACUAGUUUCGUUGCGAGUAAGAAAAUAUCCAAAGUUUCUAAUGAAGUCUGCAAAAGAGACCACACAAGUAAAAAAUCCGAAAAAGGUAUUACCUGCUUAUUAACUGCAAUGGCAUUAUUUUCAGGUACCGGAGAAAGGACGCCCCAAGGACCUCUAAAAAGCGAGGAAAAGAGAAAAUUUAGGCUCCAGAAACAUUUUAAUCAGAGAGAGAUAGAGAGAGAAUUGCAUAUAUCACUUCAUAUGCAAUAUAUGAUGCUUCAUAACUCCUUAAUCCUUCUUUACUUCAGAUGACUCCUUAAUCCUUCUUUACUUCAGACGCCUUUUUUUAUUUCCUAGCUGUUUUGCCCUAAAACUGUAUUUCAUAUUUGUGGUCCCACCUCACUCGCCCAAUCAAAAUCAUGGCUGUACAUGAAGUUAAAAUGACCCCAUGUUGAGAUAACAUAUAAUUAAGAAAGCAUUUUUAAGAUACAUAUAUUUGCAAACUACUGAUGCUUAUCACGAGCCUGCUUCACAACAAGGGAGGUAGAGGGUUACAAUAAGUUGAUAACGGGACUCAAAACUUGGGAAAUAAUCACGUCUGUAAUCCCAAUCAUAUAUGUUAUAUCUACCCAUACUUGGAAAAAUCACCGACCAUACAAAGAUAAAAUCAUAUCAGCCACACUUAGAAAUCAAAACACCUAACCAGAAGAGGUAGCAAUAAGAUGGAAGUCCAAAAAGAAAGGAUGAUUGUAGUAUCAAGAUACUGAAGUAGUCUCAAGCAUGUUACUGUUACAAGGGCAAAGAAUGUGAUGCUCCUAUUUCAUGUUUUUCAAUGGUUCAAAAAAGCACCAUUUAAGGAAGGAAGCACACAAUGCAUAAGAUGCUAAAGCAAAGCAAGUGUUAUCAUGUAGGUCCGUGUACCAAAAGUGUCUCUACAUGAGAAGGUCCGUGACUGAAGCAGUAUUUAUAUAACUAUACAGCUCAAUCAUGGACAUGGUAUGAAACAAGAAAUUGGAGCAGAAUUUUAGGGGGUGUUUGGUUCACCCCUUCUUCACCCUAGAAUAGGAAUCGGAAUGGACGAAUCCAUUUGUCCGUGUUUGGUAUGCGGGAUUUCCAUUCCGAUUCCGAUUCCGGGUGAUUGGGAAUCCCCCUACUUACGCAUUUUUCCAAUCCGGCUAAGAAGGCUGGAUUGGAGAUUGAAUCUGGGCGGAAUGGAUUUGUUCAGGUUAAAUUUAACUUUUUUAAGCUUAUUUUUAAUUAAAACAUAAGUUUAUAUUUUAAAAUUAUAUUUAUAAAUUUACAUUUUAAUUUGAACUUAAAUUAAAAAUUAAAAUGCAAUCAAGUAUUUCGAAUCUAAUUUAUAAAUUUGAAUUUAAAUUUAAAUUUAAUUUAAAAUCUAAAGUUUUAUUCAAAUUUUAUUUAAAAUUUAAAUUAAAUUUAUGGAUUCAAAUUGAAAUUUAAAUUAUAAUUGUAAGUUUGAAUUUGAAUAAAUCAAAAUUUAGUUUUAUAUUUUGAACUAUCUAUUCAAUUUCAAAUUUUAAUUUUUAAAAAAAUAUAUAUUUAAAAUUUUGACAUCAUUUUAAAAUUUUGACCUAAUAUUUAAUUUUCAGUUUGAAUUUAAACUAAUAUAUUAUAAAGAUAAAACUAAUAUAUCAAUUUGAUUACGUUUCUGAUAUCUAUCUGAACUAAACACCCACAAUGAGAAUGAUUCAUUCUGAUUCCGAUUCAGGUGGCGAACCAAACAGAAUGAGAUAAUGAAUCAUUUCGAUUCCACUUCUAGCUUAUUCUCAUUCCGAUUUCGACUUGAACCAAACACACCCAUAUUUUCUUCUGAAUGCUAGUUCUUGUGCAAUCAACAACAUAAUAUUUGGUAAACAGCAAGAUGAAAAUUAGUUAGUACAAAGCAAAUUACCAAAAAAAUAGUUAUAAAAGUUAACUAGGAAAAUAAAAAAUGAAGGUUAUAAAACAAUAAAUAAAACAAAGAAUGGUACACCUUUCACCUUACUAAAAGAUUUGCUUUGUUCUGACUAGGUAAAUGCGAUAAAAAAGUUCAUUAACCUUGCAGAACGCUACAUAUAUAAUGCAAUCUUUUGUAACAUCUGGGACAAAUUUGCUACAAAUAUACUAUGGAUUUGCCGAUACCAAGCUGAGUGAAUGAGCGCAUGAAGGAAUGCUUUCAAAAGCGGUAGAAAGAUACCAUGUUCGAUACUCACCUAGAUGGACAACCAGUCAACCUCGAUUCCCUUAGCAGUGGCAUUGUGAAAAUGGAAAGAGCUCCUACCCAGUAGCAAAAGUACUAUACUAAAGCUCAUUUUCCCUAAAUAGCUGGACCUUGGGCAAUCUACUCCUGCCUCGACAAGAUCUCAAUCAGUAAGACAACAAGCUUCUUGACUUGAAAGACUACUUCCUUUGCCCUCUCAGUUCUCUCCUUCCUUUCUGGAGUAAGGGGCCGAGUCUAUAUCCCUCAAAGACGACCACUUGAAGAAGUCCUUCAUUGGACUGACAUCAAAGUGCCAAUCCAAAGAUCAGAGACAACUCUCGGGAUCCCACCCCUCGCCCUUUUAGGCUAAGGGAAUGGUUCUCGAAGAGGAAGGGUUCAGAGGCCAGUCCCCCUUUGAAGAGGGGAGGUGGACCUUAAUGUACGCACUAAGAACUCUCUUGAUAUAAGAGAACUUAGCACUAGAUGAGUACUCGUGAAGAUGGAGUAAAUGGUCAAAUAAUAAAGGUUAUGUGUGUCAAGGAGAAAGAAUAAGAGGAUUUUCACAUCGACUGGGGUUUUAGUCUAUCAAAGGGUAUCUGAUAUAAAUUAUAAAUAAUCCAAGAGGAAAGAUAUUUUAUAUGGGUAUAAUAAACAAGAAGGAUAAAAAUAUCAACUGAGUCAAAGUCUCUGAACAUAUGUUAUCAUAUCAGACCUCAAUGUAGACUAAUGGAGAUGCACUAAAUAGGAAGAACAAAAACAAAAUACCAAAGUUAAUUUAAGAUAAAAAAAUUUCUAUUGUAGAAAUCUUACUCAUGUUGAGGGUUCACAAAGUCAAGUAUUGGCUUCAGAUGGUUACCUGCAAACAAGAAUGCUCAAAGCUUCACAAUGCAGCCCAAAAUUACUUCACAUAAGACCAUUCUGUCACUGGAACCAUCAUAGUUUCAUAGAAGAAACAGCAAAGCAAGUGUUCAUGAGAAAGUAAAUAUAGCCAUAAUGUAAGUAUAUAAAUGUGACUCUUCUAAUCUUCAUAUCCAAGUCCAUAAACAACAUAAGCAUUUAUAAUUUAUAGUUACAGAACUAACAAAACAUAGGGGUAAAGCAAUGCAUCUUUAGAAUCCAAAUAUCACCAAAGCUGCUCCUUGGCUUUGUCAUUACAUUGCAAUCUUGGAAUACUGUAACAGUUUUCUUCAUAGAAAGGCACAGUGAACACAUGGCCAUUCUUAGAGCAACAGUAAGAAGAGACUCCCUAACUAAGAGAUCUGUGGCCAUUUGAAAUACAAAUAUUUCCAAAGAAAGGAAACAUUGAAUAUGUAUCAAUGAUUUGCAAGAUACCUUGAAGAGAAAGAGGAACAUCAGAACUUAGUACUUCAAUCCAUCUCCAGCCUCGUAUCCUGCCAUCAUCACCACAACUGCAUAGAACGCGCAAUGUAAGCUUAGUGUUCAGAUAAUCUGAGAAGAUAGCAGUAAUUCGCAACAAGUAUCAUUCUUGAAAAGAAUAAAAACAUUAGGACAAGGUCAUUUUACAUAAAGAAAUAACUUGGGUUGUUUAUUAUGAUGAUAGAAAUGGAAAAGACAUAUCUUUAAUUGUACGAAAUAAAGCAUGUGAAGAUAUAUGAUGAGCGUAGUACGAACCUCAAUAACAAAGAUUCCUCUCCAUCCUCAAAGAAUUUUAAAUCAUAUGCAGGGCCUUUGUGCCCUUGAAUGAUGCAGAGUGGAUCCACAGAUGAAGAUUCAUAAAGAUGCCUUCACAUGAUUAAUAAGAAUAAAUUAGAACUAAUUGUUAAUGGACAAAAAUAAGCAAAUCAGGGCAUUUUAGUAACACUUACUGUUGAUCAACUUUCCUACUAAAAUGCAUAGGCUGCAAAAGAGAAGCUAAGUCAACAGGUGGUUCAUUUACCAGCAAAAAGAAAAGAAGAACAUUCUAUGCCCAAUAACAUUUCAUUUUUUUCCCUUAAUUCCCGAAUAAUUGAGAAUGACUGUAGCUAAAUAACAUAGAAAACACUUUGUGUGCUUAACUAGGCUUGAGAAUCAAAAGAAAAAUAAUUGAGGUAUUAUAGCCUGCACCUGGUAUACCCAUAAAUCUCAUCAACCACACUAAGAAUUUGUUGAUGAAUGUUUUAAAAUCAAAAUUAAAUCGAAUAGAUGUGAUCUACAACAUGGAUCACAGCAUCUAAAGGUCCCAUGGAUGAUACAUUUUGAAAACAUAUUGGCUAGGUGUCAAGUAAUGCCAAAAUCAAUAUUAUAGAAAAGGACAUUGUUUAGUUCAUACAAAAUAAGUCAACAAAAUUUGUAGUUUUUGAUAUGUAGGCCAUUUGAGUAUCAUAGAGCACAUUCAAUGAAUUAAAUUCUGAUUUUGAGGCAUCCAUGGUAGGUUUAAGGUGUGCAUCGCACGUCGCACCAGGUGCAUGCAAUAAAUUCUCAUAGUUGAGAGGGUCUCCAGACAAUUUCAUACAAUUUUACCUAAAAUUGUACGGAGACCCCCUCAACUGUAGGCCAUUUUUUAAAUGUCUUGACACCCUGUUUGAAUCGAGCCGAGUGUCCCAGACGGGUUGACCGAGUCAAACUGUUGACCAAGUCAAAACAUUUCUGACUUACGAAUCAGCUCAGAAGAUGACCCUCGAUUAAUGAGAUCAAGAUAGGUUGAGGAGGCAUCUGCUCAACCGGUUUCUUUCUCAAAUGCGUAAAAGCUCUUCGGAGAUGAAACGAACUCAAGAUCUUCGCACUGAAUCAGCUCAAGCUAGAGCCGAACUAGUUGGAUUUCAUUAAAAUAUUAAGUAGAACGCUGAAGGUUACAAGGAAAAGAGCGCUAAAGCUCAAGUUACAGUCUCUCGACUAAAACUAAAAGCUAAACUCUAAAAACUAUAGCCAUUCUUAGGAAAAGCUAUAAAUGCUGAGAACGGAAAGAAGUUUAAAAACAAUGGUCUUCGACACGGGAAAAGACUUUUAUUGCAGGCAACUUUCCGCUAUUUAUAGACUUACUAUCAAUCUUCAGUUAGUUGUUGUACGGUUGUCGCUUCGUGGGGAAUGCUCUGGCCAUUUUCUUUCGGUUACAAAAUCACUCUCUCGUCUCUCAACCGUUCCCACCCAAAAUCCAUUUGUCUUUAGGCUCUUUUUCUCCGGUUCUUGGUGUACCACAUAUCUUUUUUUUUUUUUGUUUGACCUCAUGAGCUGAGCCGACUACCAGUUUAUCACAUUUUCUUACGCCAACACACCCACUUAACUUUUUACUUUUUUUAUUUAGCCAAAAUAAAUUGGAGAUUAUCAAAUUAGUUAGCAAUUCGAUCAAAUUAAAUAAUUUUAAUCACUUAUUAGCAAAUAAAAUUGAAACAGUACCCAGCUAAUAGCUCAUAGAGACAUUAAAGUUGACCAAAUUUUCUACUUAACUAACAAUAAUAACUCAAAUUAAAAAUAUAUAUGCUGAAGCGAAGGGGAUCUCAAAUAGAAAAAAAUAAAAAAAAGUUAAAUUGAAGAGUCUUUUCAAAAUGAUCAAUAUUUGAGGGGGUUUCCAAACAUUUUAACCUCCAUUUUAACCCAAAAAUCGAGUAAAUAACCCGUGAUUCUGCAUAAACUACUAAAAACAACAGUAAAGAGAGUUAAUUGAUCGAAGUAACCUGGGAAUGGGAGGAGGAGAUGCAGGAGGAGAUGGAGUAGGAGGCGAGGGAUCCGUCGCUCGAGGCGACGACUAGGGUUUUGGGGCUAGGGUUUUGGGAGGGAGCGAACGCGGUUCUAAAGACGGUGCGAGAGACGAUCUCCCUCUCCGUGAGGACGCUCCGCCUAUAGCCUUCUUCGUCCCAAUCCCUCGCAUCCCAUCGUCGUCGUCGUCCUCCUUCUCCUCCGGCCCCCGCCAUUGUCGACCUCGGGAGCUUUUGCGCAGCGUUCGAAACGAGCGAGAGAGGGGAGUAAAGGGUUCGUGUUUUCGUAGUUAAGAGGUAAAAUUGUAUGGGAACCCCUCAACUAUGGGAAACGGUGACAUUCACUCCUCAACUUCUUAUUUUUCACUUUUUGGUGAUAAUUUCAUAUGUAUAAUAAUAAUAAUUUAGGCGUUUAAAAUUGGGGAUUUAUUACUGUAAAGUUUUAAUUAUUAUAUUUUUUUUUUGAAGCUUCAAAAUGUAGAAAUUUAUCUUUAUAAGUUAAUUAGCGUAAGUUAACCAUUAAAUUUCACUGUUUGGAUCAUUAUUCGACGUUUGGUUAGAGAAUAGGGAUAGGGAUAGGCCCUUAUCCCCUUUAUACCCAAACGCUAAUUUUUUAUCCGAUAAUAGUAGUUCUCGGUUAUCCCCACCAACACCUCUAUUUUCUAUAUAAAACUAUCUAAUAUUUUCUUAUUCCCGGGAACAACCCAAUUUUCAUCCAAACGCUAUUUUUCUUAUCCCCAUACUUGUACCUAUCCCUGUAAUAGUUAGUUCUUGCUUAUAUCCGAACCAAACUGUAGAUAUAUCAUUUAGUUUGGGUAGAAGUAAGUACUACUGCCUAUUCUAGGGAUAGGUAUAAGUUCAUGUAUAAAAUAAGAACUAAACCAAUAUUGCGUUUGGAUGAAAAUUGGGUUGUUUCGAGGAAUAAGAAAAAUAGCAUUUGGAUAAAUAAAAUAGAAUAAGAAAGAUAGUAGGUAAUUAUAAAUAAAAAAUAAUAAUAUUACCCCUCACAUUAUAUUUGAAUUUGAAUUUUUAAAUUUUAUAUUUAAAAUUUUAAUUUUUAAUUUUUAAAUUUUUAAAUUAAAAUUUUGAAAUUUAAAAUCUUAAUUUUUAAAUUCAAAAUUUUAAACUUUAAAUUUCAGACCAAAUUUAAAUUUGAAAAAUAUAAAAUAUCAAAUUUUAAAUUUUAAAAAUUUUAAUUUUUAAAUUUUAAAUUUAGAAUUUAAAAUUAUAAAUUUUAAUUUUGAGAUUACAAAUUAUAAAUUUUAAAAUUUNUUUAUUAUAAUAUUUAAAUAUAAUUUAUUAUAAAUUUUUUUAUAAUAUUUAAAUAUAAAUAAUAUGUAUUAAUAUAGUACAAUUAAUAAUUUUAUAAUGAACAUAAUAUAUUAUAAUAUAUAACAUAUUAUAUUUAUAUAAUUUAGUUUUAAUUCAAUUUAUAAUUUUAAUAAAGUUUGAAAUUAAAUAUUGAAAUAGCACUAUUCCACUAAAAUGGUGGAAUAGCAAAACCCAAGUUAUUCUGGGAUAACCGAGAAUAGCAAGGUUUGACAGGAAUAAAAUAUUCUGGUCGAAAAUCAUCCCGUUUGGCAUAAUAGCGGAAAUAACUUUUGUUAUUCCUGCUUAUAUCCCAAACUUAAAAUCCAAAUUAGGUUUUAAUAACUAAAAAAAUUUAAUGUGGUAGGUGAUAGAAAACUAGUCUUUAGAUAGGCUAGUUGUAUUUUUUUUUUUUUUUUUAGAGAAAGGUCGCAUUCUACCUGGUUCGUUUAUUUCAUUUAGAAAUAAACUUAGCUAGAAAUAUGAAUCAACUAAGAUUCGAACUUGGGUCUCGGGUACCAACCACUAGGCUAGUUGUAUGUAGAUGUAGUAUUGCUAUGAGUUCCAACUAAGAUUCGAACUUACAAAGUUACAACUCUAUUGUUGUAAUCUUACAACUUAGCUCAUCUAAAGGCUAUAAUCACCAUAUUAGUCUUAUUAAUUUUUUUAACACUAAAAAUCAAAAAUAGAUUGUUUAAUUUUUUAAACUAUUGGAUCAAGGGUUGUAAAGAUUAUAGAGUUGUGUUUCUAGAAAAAGUGUGAAAAUUUCUUUUUCGAGAAAAUAAAUUUUUAUGAAAAAACUUCUUUUAAAGCUUUUCGCCAGUUUAGUUUCAAAGAAAACUAACAUUUUUGAAAAGUUAUUUUUCAAAUUUGAUGGAAAAAUCGUGUUUUCGUUUCCUAAACAAAACUCAAAAAAGAAAAACACUAGCUUUCCAUAAAAUUAGAAAAGUAGCUUUCUAAAAAUAUUAAUUUUUUAAUACCAAAUAGGUGAAAAUUUAAAAAUAUUUUUUUUAAAUUUUUUGGCUAAAUUAGAGAAGACCCCAUUAUAAAUAUUUGCUUGUUUACUUUUUCUUCUUAAUUUUUAAAAAUUUAUAUUUUACUCUCUCAAUAUUUCAACUUAUUGUAUUUAACUCCUCUAUCAGGGUUCCAUUACUAUUCUAUUCAUUUCUUAUAAUUUAUAAUAAAAAUGACCUUUAAAAUGACAUAUUAUUUUUUUCUUUAUAGAGGAACUAAGGAUAGUUUUAUCAUUUUGCCCGCUCCAUUAACAUCGUGUCCCCUGAAAAUAUUUUUGAAAUUUUUAAGGGACAAAAUAUAGAUUUUUAAAAGUCAGAGAAGAAUAAUAAAAAAAAAAAGUAUUUACAUAAAAAUUUUCUAUAAUUUAGUUUUUAUUAAAAAAAUUAUCGAAGAAUAAAAUAGUCCUUAACACCCAGUUUGGUUCGAGUACAUAGGGCUCCGUUUGGAUCGGGAAUUAGUAGGAACUAGUUAUACCGAGAAUAGGUACAAGUAUGGAUUUUUGUAGAAAUAAGGGUAUUUUUUUGUUUGGAUGAAAUUGUGAGUAUAAGCUGGAACUAGAAAAAUUGUGUUUGGAUGAUUUUUGAGAAUAAGAGGAAUAAUUGGUAGUUAUAAAUAGAAAACAAUAAUAUUAUUCCUAUAAUUGAAUUUUAAACUUAUAAUUUUAAAUUUAAAAUUUUAACUUUUAAAUUUUAAAAUUAGAUAUUAAAAUUUUUAAUUUUAAAUAUCAAAAUUUAAAUUUCAGACCAAAUUUAAAUUUCAAAGUUAUAAAAUAACAAAUUUAAAAUUUAAAAACUAACCAUAUCAAAUUUAAAAUUUAAACUUUAAUAAAAUUUAAAAUUUUAAUUUAUUAAUUAUAGUUAUAAAAUUAUAAAUUUUAAAAAUUUAUAUUUAAAUAUUCUCUCUCUCUCUCUCUCUCUCUCAAGUGGGUUGGAACAAGCUUGGGAACAAGCUUGGCAACGGGUGAUCCGUUAUGGUGGGAACACUUGUUCUCACUAUGAAAAAAUUGUGUUUGGGUAUAAAGGGAGGGAUAUCCUCCUUAUCCCCCUUUUAUAUCCGAGCCAAACGGGGUGAGGGGGAAUAAGAUCUUAUUCCUUUCAUUUGUAUCCAAACAAGAAUUGGAAGAGUUAGGAAUUAUUAUUCCCACCCCUUAAUGGCAUGUUGUUUUGUAAUUUUUAUUUCAAAAUAUUAAAUUAUUUAUCUCCAUAAUUUUUAUUCAAUUUUAUUAAUCAUUUUUAAACUCACCAAUUUAAAUGCAUAUUACUUUACUUAAAAAAUGAAAGUGGAAAGUUUAUACUGCCAUAGGUUCAGAAAGCGAGAUAGUUAUUUCUUAAUUUUUACUACCAAUUAUUUCUCUUAUUCUUCUUAAUAAUUCAAACACUAUUUUUUUUUAUUUCUGCCGAUACUCUAAUUUUUAUCUAAAUAAAAAUUUAUUUUAAAUUUUACUUAUAUCCGAACCAAACAACC